Podarcis lilfordi (Lilford's wall lizard) is the source of this 63930-nucleotide non-coding RNA. The record is from the annotation of a GenBank genome assembly. NCBI's taxonomy places the organism in Eukaryota, Metazoa, Chordata, Lepidosauria, Squamata, Lacertidae.
CAUAGCUCUUGUGCUGAUGAACAGUGAUGCAAGGAGCAUGGAGGUAAUGAGUAGCCCCUCUCUCUGAGAUGGUGUUCUCUACCUCUGCUGUUGUCUAUGCUAUGGUAACCUCAAGGUUAGAUUACUGCAAUGUGUUAUACGUAGGGCUGCCUCUGAAGAUGGUUCGGAAACUUCAGCUAGUGCAGAAUUCAACGGCCAGGUUGCUCACCAGAGCAAGAUGGUUCGAGCAUAUUACAUAGAUCCUGGUCUGACUGCACUGGCUACCAAUUAGUUUCCGGGCCCAAUUCAAAGUGCUGGUUUUGACCUAUAAAGCCUUAAAUGGCUCCGAACUGCAAUACCUCAAGGACUGCCUCUUUCCAUAUGAACCUAACCGGACCCUGAGAUCAUCUUCUGAGGCCCUCCUUCGUGUGCCCCCUCCUCAAGAGGAGCGUGGCAACAUGAGAGUGGGCCUUCUCUGAAGUGGCUCCCUGUCUGUGAAAUGCUCUCGCCAGGGAAGUUUGCCUGGCGCCUUCAGUACACACCUUUAGGCACCAGGCAAAAACGUUCCUUUUUAACCAGGCCUUUGGUUGAUCCAAUUUACAUCCUAUGCCCUUUUAAAAUGUGUGGGGGUUUUUUGUGGGAGGGGGCUAUUGGGUUGUUGUUUUUAUUCUUAUUAGGUAUUUUGUGGUUUUAUAUUUUGAUUUUAUUCUGUGAACUGCCCUGAGACCCCUGGGUCUAGGGCCAUAUAUAAAUCCAAUUAAUAAUAAUAAUAAUAAUAAGCCCACCUCCCCUGAUGUCUGCAUGUAUAACGUAAAAAUGUCUGUAGGGAAGGGGCCUUUGCAUGAAGGCUUUCAUGGGAUCCGGAACUGGGCUCCAGUUCCCAUGGAAACCUUUGUGUGCAUAACUAUAUGACCAAAGGCACCUACUUACAGACAGGGUGGGUGUUAGAGGGCCAAACUGCUGGGUAAAGUCCCACUCCCUGCCCCAUGUCCAUCAACACAGGAGCUAUAAUGUGCACACAGGGCUUAAGUGCCUAGGGAUAUGCCUGAAAGAUAUGCCUCACACCUGCCGUGAUCUAGUUGCCAUGUGUGAAGACAAACAGCAAUUUGAGAGAGAGCGAUAAAGUCACAGAGAGCUGACUUUUGGACUCUAUGAGAUAUCAGCAAUUUGGGGUGCCGGCUGUCUCCCUGCAGACCUGGUUUAGGGGCAGUGGGCUUUGAAGCGUUUUCCACCUAAUGUUCAACCAAAGUAUUUGCGAAUGAAGGCAAAUAUUACAAAACACCAAUAAGCCUCCAGUGAUUCCAUCAAAAGAAAAGCAAACCUGGCUAAGUUCUGCACCCUCAGACUUCUCAGAGAAGUGGGGUUAGCAUAGUAGUUAAUUUGUGGCUUUCUGUUCUUAGGGAGUCAUCAGGCACCACUUUGAUAACACAGAUCUUAAAACAAAAAAACACAUCCAAGGGGAGUUGAGGUGGCAGAGGCCUGAAGGGAGGGGGAAGAGGAAGCAACAGAUAGAAAGCCAAUGGAAUAAAAGAUGGCAGGUCCCGGACAAAGAACACUAAGGGGAGGCGUAAACUGAGAGAAAGAAAAACAGGGGCAAAACCAAAGGAAGAAGGGAAGUUUGCCUUUGACACUUGCCCACCUACUCAGAUCUAACCAUUAUGUAUCAUUACAAUUCCAUAUGCAAUGCCAUCAUGUGGGUGCAUUUGCUAAUAACUUUAAUAAUCCGUGGGGACGCAGGUGGCGCUGUGGUCUAAACCACAGAGCCUAGGGCUUGCCAAUCAGAAGGUGGGCGGUUCGAAUCCUUGUGACAGGGUGAGCUCCCGUUGCUCAGUCCCAGCUCCUGCCAACCUAGCAGUUCGAAAGCACAUCAAAGUGCAAGUAGAUAAAUAGGUACUGCUCCAGCGGGAAGGUAAACAGCGUUUCCAUGCACUGCCCUGGUUUUGCCAGAAGCGGCUUAGUCAUGCUGGCCACAUGACCCGGAAAAACUGUCUGCGGACAAACGUCGGCUCCCUCGGCCCGUAAAGCGAGAUGAGCACCACAACCCCAGAGUCGUUCAUAACUGGACUUAACUGUCAGGGGUCCUUUACCUUUACCUUUUUAAAUAAAACAUUAAUAAAAAAAACAGUGGCUUUGACGUUUGUCAUAAAACAAUGCACUUUAAAAUGGACCAAAAUCAAAUCUGUUUGCUUGCUUCGCAGUAGGAGGCUGAGAUAGCUUAAAAUGACAGUGUGACAUCAAGUGCACAAGACUCUCAGAAAACAAAUGUGGUUUCUUUCCAGUGCCCCUAAGGUGUCUUCCUUGUCAGAAAUACAAGUUUUGUCAUCUCUCAUUAGCUAAUUAAAACAAUGUGAUAUUUCAGAACUUUUGAAAUAAAUUAACGGACAUAAAUAAAAACAACAAUAACCUGGCUUAAAGUUAAUGACAAUCUUUAUUACGUACUAGUGUCUUUAAGCCAGUGUUCCCCAAACAUCCGUUAGCUAAUGUGUAUCUUCCCUACAAAUUAAAAUUAGAAAUCACCAGUCCUAAAAAGGUUAAUGAUCCGCUACUGUAGACCAUUGGGAGUACAGUGGUACCUCGUUUAAGAACAGUCCGGUUUAAGAAUGAUUCGAUUUACACACUCCACAAAACCGGAAAUAGUGUGUGGGUUUGAGAACUUUACCUCGGUCUAAGUACAGAAUCCGAACAGUGGAAGGGCACCGGCGGCGGGAGGCCUCAUUAGGGAAAGCGCGCCUCAGUUUAAGAAUGGUUUUGGUUUAAGAACGGACUUCCGGAACAGAUUAAGUUCGUAAAGCAAGGUACCACUGUAUCUGAUUUGUAUGUGAUGUUCAUAAAAUUCAAUAAUGGUAAUGAUAAUAGAUAAGUAUUGAAACCCUGACCCUAACUCUCCGAAACCUAUCUGUCUGGUUAAGGCCUAAGAGUGCCUGGGGCUGUCCACAAGGAUAGAAAAUGCAAAAAGUCCCAGUUUCAGUUUGUGACAUCUCCAGGCAGGGCUGGGAAAGACUUCCAUCCGAAACCUUGAAGGGCUGCUUGCCUGCUAGUAUAGACGUUACUGAGCUAGAUGAAUCAAUGGUCUGACUCGAGAUAAAGAAGCUUCCUGCAUCUCUGUGGUGAUGGUAUAACAUGGGACUAAUCCAUUAAACAUCAUAAACAUCUGAUUCAUUUCAGCAAGGCUCCCUGAGAAACGCAGCAGUGCUGGAUGGAUGGUACAUUGUGGACACGGUCUUCAUAGAUUCCCAUCACAUUCUUAGGGAUUAACUAAUAUUGUCUGUUAAAUGAGUUAUAAAUUAUAAUUAUAAACCACAGCACUUUAAUCAAGCAAUCACUUGGGGAAAGCCAUGUUCAGACAUGAAAUUAAGAGUCAGUACAGGGGAAGCCAAGUGCUGCGAAUUUAUAUUGAUAUCACCAAAUCCAUUCCUUGGGGACGUUAAGUAUGAUGACAGAUAAAAUCAAUUAUUUCCCUCCUUUCUGGCUUUUCCCUUUUUAAAGAAACAUAAAACUGAUCUAUAAUCUUAUUUUGAUACCUUAACACACAAAAAUUGCAUAUUAUUGCAAUAUGAAACAAUAAGGCUACUGUACUCAGUCCUGAUAAUUUACUUAAUUAGUUGACUAUGGUGCAGGGUGGGUGUGUAUUAAGGUAGUGUGUAAAUAAGGGUUUGAAACUAGUUUUCUGUAUGUUGACUGCCUUUCUAUUUUGUCAUGGAGUGUGUGGUUAUGAGACUAAAGUUCCUCAACAAAGGAAAACAUAGCUUUUUUUCUUCUUUUAAAAUUAUUUUGUCACAUCCAGCUAUAAUCAAAAUUGACCAUUUGAAUUUCUUUUGCAUCCUGACACAUGUGCUUUCAAGAAAGUCACAGUAAAAAAUGUAAAGAUGAUUUCGGAAACAGCUAUAGGUUUUCAUGUUGAAGACUUCUGUCUAAGGCAGAAAAUUAUGCAUCACCAAAUGAAAAGAGGACAAAAUUUCAUAUUUAAAUUGCGUAAACCAAUUUAUGUGAAUAGAUGCAAAUUUAGAUGUCAUUUUAAAAUAGAAAUUCACAGCAUCUCAUGAUAGGGAGGAAGACUUUUAUGUCUAGCUAGCUAGCUAGCUUAACACACACACACAUACUGCUUUAUACAAGUCUCAAAGCAGUUUACAAAAUAAUAAAUACAAUUGACAUAAGAAGCAAUUAAGCUGAAAAACUGCAUAUAAUACAAUACAAUACUUGGAGCAUGUGGCUUGCUAACUGUUUGUUCCAGGCACCUGCUCACCCUUCUUACAAUUCUUAAUCUUUUUUUUUUUUAAGACUUCUACUGUGCAGCACUUAAAAUAGAGGACUCUUUCAGAUAGUCUGCUGAUAAUCCUUCAAACAGAGGACUGUCCCAAAGGCAAGACGCAUGACCAACCUCUGCCUGCCUUUCUGAAGUAGAAAUAUUGUAUACAUUAACAGAGGGGUAGCCAGUGUGGUGUUUUCCAGAUGUUGGCUCCAAUUCCCAUCAUCCCAGUCCAUUGGCCAUGCUGGCUAGGAUCAGUGGGAACAUCAAUAGGACAUUACACUGGUGCCUUAACAAGUUAGUCCUGGAAGAGAUAGCCAGUGCAUUUUACCUGUAGGGCCUAAAAAACCCAAACCCCUACUACCUUUUUGUAGCUUUUGUUCCCUGGGAUCAAUGCAAGGAUAACAGUCCUACCAAACCAUUUUAAUUGCAACCCUGAAGCAUAGUCAGUUGCAAUGUGUCUACUGUUCUGUGACAAAGAAGUGAAGAUGUCUCUACUUGGCCAUCAAAGUAGCUAUGCCACAAGGGAUCUCUCUCUCUCUCUCUCUCUCUCUCUCUCUCUUUCUCUCUCUCCGUCCCCCAAUCCCUCUGUUCUCUUCUCCUAUCUCUUCUCCUGCUGUGAUUGAGCAUUAUGAGAUGAGUCACGUCUCUAUGUGCAAGUCCAUGAACCAAUUUGUGUAUGGAGUAAAUGAUACGUAUGGAUUGCAGAGAACAGGGUUCAGGUCUGGGUCAUCACACCCAGAGCUCUCAGCUAAUACGAAAGAUAUAGACCUGGAUUACUGUCUGUAUUGAUUCAGAGAGAGAGAGACUUUCUUUUUCCUUUCAUUUAAGUCUAUUUCCUGUGCUAUGAUCACCAUUGUCAUUAAUGCAGCAAGAUCGCUCUGUUCUGUACUUACUUUUAAUAUAACAAAUGCCAAUUUCCAACAAACAGCAUGAAGAUUUAAAACAUGGGUAGGCAAACUAAGGUCCUGGGGCCGGAUCCGGCCCAAUCGCCUUCUAAAUCCACCCCGCGGACGGUCCAGGAAUCAGCGUGUUUUUACAUGAGUAGAAUGUGUCCUUUUAUUUAAAAUGCCUCUCUGGGUUAUUUGUGGGGCAUAGGAAUUCAUUCAUCCCCCCUCCCAAUAUAGUCUUGCCCCCCCAUAAGGUCUGAGGGACAGUGGACCAGCCCCCUGCUGAAAAAUUUUGCUGACCCCUGAAAAAGCAGGAAUGUAUCGUUGUCUUUGUUCACAUAUAUAUCUUUUGAAAUACACCAAUAAGGGUUAUGGCCAGGUUCUGUAUACUUUUUAUUAUUGUUAUAACAGUUUUUUUGCAUGCUUGGCCUCCUGAUACCUCCCCUCAGACAUCAUUUGUAAAAGGAACGCUUAUUGGGCUUAACCCUUCAUGAAAGAUAGGCUGCCUAACCCAGAAGCCCUGUCCUUAGAUCAGAAAUGUAUGGGACCGGGCUUCAUUUGCCCUGUGAUGGUGAUACCAUCCAUUCUGCUCAUAAUCAAAAGUGUGGGGGUUUUUUUGGGGGGGGCAUUAUUUCACAGGUGGGACCUGCCUAAAUGUAGAACCUUAGAAGAGUUUGGAUUUGAUAUCCUGCUUUAUCACUACACAUUACAUUUGUCCCUAUUGAAAUUCAUUUUGUUAGUUGAGGCCCAGUUCCAUGGGUUUAGCCAGGAUUUUUGUUGAGGGGGCAGGACUUUUGGUGGGGACAGAACUGACGUGAUAGAUCAGUUAGUUAAGUAUUUCUAUUGUUUUACUUAAUUGGGCGGCGGCAGCUGUCUCUCCACCCCCCGCUUGGCUACACCCAUGCCCAGUUCUCCAAUCUGUUAAGGUCAUCUUAAAUCCUGAUUCUGUCUUCUGAAGCAUUAGCUACCCCUCCCAGCAUGGUGUCAUCAGCAAAUUUGAUGAGCAUCCCCUCAAUACCUUCAUCCUAGUCAUUGAAAAACAACCAGCCCAGGACAGAACCCUUCAGCACCCCACUUAUCACAUUUUCCCAGGAUGGCAAGGAACCAUUAGUGAGCACUCUUUGAGUUUGGUCAGUCAACCAGCUACAAAUGCCCCUAACAGUUACCUCAUCCAGCCCACAUUUUACCAGCUUCUCUGCAAGAAUGUAAUGGGAAACUUUGUCAAAAGCCUUCCUGAAAUCAAGAUAUACUACGUCUGCACCAUUCCCUUGAUCCACCAGACUUUUUACUCUAUCAAGAAAACAAAAACAAAUGAGAUUCCCCUAGCAUGACUUGUUUUUGACAAGCCCAUGCUGGGUCUUAGAAAUAACAGCAUUUUCUAAGUGCUCUAGGGUCUUUCCUGGUCUCGAGGUCAAGCUCACUGAUUGGUAAUUACCUGCUGGAUCAGCUAGUGUCCCAUCUACACCAGCAUCCUGUUGUCACAGUGACUAACUAGAUUCUUGUAGGAAACCCUAAAGGAGGACCCAAAGACAAGAACACUCUCCCUUCCUGUGGUUUCCAGCAACUGGUAUUCAGAAGCAUUGCCGCCUGUGACCGUGAAGGCAGAGCAGAGUCACCAUGGCUAGCAGAUAGACUGAUUGCCAUAUCUACCAUGCUUUUAAUAUAUUCUGGUGAUAAUCUUCACUUCUCUUAUAUAUUUAUAUUUCUAGGAACUGUUGAAAGAUGACCAUAAGGAAAAGGAAACUCAAAAGCUGAGAGAAAAAUAGCAGUCCCUCAGAACACAGCCUGAAUUAGGAGACUAUUUGACUAUUUAGACUUAAAAUGAGUAUCACGGUUAAAUAUAUCAAGUCAACAAGACUCCCCACGCCCUUGUAGAGCAUUUUGCACCUAUAAUCACACAUUGAGUCAUCAUCAUAUAAUACUGCAGAAUGGCGAAAUUAAUGAGCAGUUGAAUUUUCAAGGAAAGAACUGAAAAUAUGUCAGAAACUGCUGAUGCAUGAUGACCUCAUUUGUUCAUUUCUUUACCUGCAUAGGUUUGGAUUAAACAAAAAUGUGUUUAGGUGUUUGCUCGUAAGGCUAGAAAAUAUAUCAUGUCAUAAAGAAGGAAACUACAGUUAAUCUUAUUUUCACUCAUCUUUUAUUAUAUAAAUAAUAGGAGAAGGUUUUAUGAAACUGUGCCACUUGGGUGUGACCAUAUUCCUAUUGUUUUUAAUGGCUCAUAUUACCAUCCUCUGAUUCCUUGUGUCAAAAAUUCAUUGCUGGAGAAAAGGCAGGGACAGACUGGUGAACAUCAUUUAAACUCCACUCCAGGUCUCCUUGUCCUCUUUCAUGGGGCUACAUACUGAUGGACAGAUUGUUCUGCCUUGCAGAAGAUGAUUAGGCCUGAUAUGUACAAAAAUUUCAUCACAUCAUAAAUGUGUUAUUUCAUAUUUGGAGGAGGGCAUCUAUCAAAGAAAAUUUGAAAGAGCUUUAAUACUUUUUGAAUGUGUUUUAUAAAAACAUGGUCAGGGAGAAGGUCAAAAUUGAAUCGCUCUCCCUUGACAUUUCAUUUUCUACGUGUAAGGAAUAUUUUUAUAUGGCAAAAUAUUGAAUCAUGUGAUUUCCCUCAUCUGUGCUCUCAAAUGAUACGCAGUUCAGGAAUAGUUUUGCCAUGUGACGCUGAGUGUGCCUGAUUUUGAAAAUUCAAUAGCUUAACAUUACUAAAUAUAUAUACUGUAUACAGGAAUCUAGCCAUAUGCAUUGAUCAAAACCAGCUUGGUCCUUGCAGUCACAGUCAUGCUGCCACACCUCAACAGUAGUAGGAUGCUGUUACUUGCUCAUCUCCUGUUCACUGUGAUAUGAAAUUCCAACUUUACUGGGGACAAUGGACCUUUGUUAGUCCUGGCCAUUAUUUCCACUGGUUCUUCUGGCUCUGCUUUGAGUCAAAAUUAGUUGAAUGCAAUCCUUAAUCUAAAGGCAGAAGUGGUUGGUUACAGGAAUAUACAUUGGUACCUUGGGUUAAGAACUUAAUUCGUUCUGGAGGUCUGUUCUUAACCUGAAAUUGUUCUUAACCCGAGGUACCACUUUAGCUAAUGGGGCCUCCUGCCACCGCCACGCCACUGCCAUGCAAUUCCUGUUCUCAUUCUGAAACAAAGUUCUUAACCUGAGGUACUAUUUCUGGGUUAGCGGAGUCUGUAACCUGAAGCAUCUGUAACCUGAAGCAUCUGUAACCCAAGGUACCACUGUACUGUAAACAGGAUUUUUAAAACUUCAUAAGGUAAAUAUAUCUCACAAAAUACUCAGUUCUCUUUCUCUGUCCGCCUCUCUCUCUCUCUCUCUCUCUCUCUCUUUCUCUCUCUCUGUAUAUAUAAAUGCUGUUUUUUCUAAUUUUAUUUUUGCUUUUAGUUCACCGUGCUAGAAAACACACCAAUCUUGGGAAAUCAAGCUAAUGUCUCCCAGCUGUGCAGGAAAAGUGUGAACAGCUCUGUCAAAUGAGCUACCCCCAUCUUUCUCUUUUUCACCAGACUGCAUCUUAUACUUGAGCAGUCCCUUCGCAUUUGCCUUUUGAGCUGGUGUGACAUAACUGCUGUUUCAUUGCCGACAGGAAAGUUUCUGUGAGGGAUAAGGAACUGGUCUUUCAGCUACCCUAGCUGGGGGAAGGGGGGAGAAAACGGUUUUAGUUGCAGGCCCAUUUUACUGGUGAAUGGCUAAGGAAAGCUGACAGGAUAAGAAAAGGAUACACGGACACGGCUCUAUCCUAAAGGUUGCUAAUUGACCAAGUGGUAAUCUGAGGGGAAGUAUUAUCCAACCUUGAAAUGCUUUCUCCAGAUUAAGUACAUUGCAUGUCAUCAGUUAACCCAUUGAGUACAGUGGCCAAGUGUUUUGACAGUCACAUCUGGUACCAUAGACUUCCAUGUUACCUAAUCAAUAGUGAUGUAGGAAGUACAAUAGAUAAGCCAAUCCAAGUGCUUCUUUGUUUCAUGCACAAAUUCAGGGGGCAUUGGAAAGGCUAACCACAAUAUUUUUUCAGGGGCAGCAGGGCAGCUGAUCUUUCACAUCAGGUGGGUAGGGAGGAGAAUUUAAAGAAACAUUUGGUGCGAAAAUAUGGUAGAAAAUACCAGCAGUCACAAGUUAAUAUUUAAACUUUUUUUACCAAGCAUUUCCCAAUAUUCCUGAGAUGUUAGUAAACCACUGAGAGCCCAAUUCCGGGAGCUGGUAUUCAAAAAAGGGAGCAAUGAUUACACCUUGACUGGCAUCCAGUUAGACUAGUCUAGACAGUAAAAUAAAUCAAUAAUAAACCCAUAAUCUGAUAUGGAUUUAUGACUGAAGACUUUAUCUGAUCCUAGUGGGCAGUGCCCAGAGCUGCCUGGGAGUUUUUAGAGACCCAAAAAUGCUGUGUUUUUUAAGCGAAUGCUGUCAUUUGUGAGUUUGGACCCAUCACACCAAAAUGGGUCAUGCCAAAAUGAUGUUUCAGUCCACCAUCUUGAUUCAAAAUAGUGGCUGGCAUCCAAAUGAUAACAGAGUCCACCACCUGCACAUUGGGAGCCCUCACUCCAAGGUUGAUGAUGAUACCUCAAGAGGCAGCCAAACCCAUGCCACAUACCUCUUUAAUUACAAAUAAAAUGCCUCUGCUAUUGUGGAGUGAUAUUACCUUUGCAUUAUUUAAUGUUACUCCACUGGAAAUUUCAUGAAUGGAUACUUUAUGGUGCUCAUACGCGCGCACACACAAACACAGAAAAUGUGGCAUAAACAGAUGCAUAAUAUGAAGUCUCUAAAGUACAUACAGUGUACUUUAUUUACACAUUUAUCUUCUCUUUUGCUCUUCUGCAAGGAAGUAGCAUACAUGAUUUCCCCUUUUAUACUCACAUCUAUCCAGUGAGGGAGGUUAGAUGGAGAAAAAGUAGCCAGUUCAAGGUCUCUUAGGCCCCAUCUGCACUAUACAUUUAAAGUAGUAUCAUAAGCACUUUACUCAGUCAUGGCUUUCCUCAAAAUAAUCCUGUGAACUGUAGUUUGCUAAGGAUGCUCUGAGUUGUUAGGAGACCCCUAUUCCCAUCACAGUUAGAAUUUCCAGAGUUCUUUGGGAAGAGGGACUGGUUGUUAAACUACACUGGGAACUGAAAUUUUUUUUGUGGGGGAGAUAUGGGUCUCCUAAGAACUCACAGCAUUCGUAACACACUACACUUCUUUGGGGGAAGUCAUCCUGUUUAAAGUAGUAUGAUAGUGCUUUAAAUAUAUAGUGCAGCGAUAGGACCGCAGUGUAUUUUAUGGCUGAGUGAGGAUUUGAACCUACAUUUCCAUGAAUCUAGUCUAGCACUCUCUAACCCUUCAAUCACACUAGAUAUUUUUCACAGAUCAGAGAUAGGGAAGCCAUGGCUCUCCAGAUGGACUCCCGUCCCUUCCGCUCCAAAUCAUGGCCAAUGGUCAGGGAUGAUAGGAACUAUAGUACAAUAGCAUCUGGAAGGCUUCAGGUUCUUCACCUCUUCUUAAGCAUUAGUUUCAAUCUUUUUCUUCUUCUAGUCAGCCCAUUAACAAAGGAAAAACAACCCAUUUAACAAAGAAAGAGAAGAUGACUACUAGUCUCUUGGCCUCCGUUUCGGUUCACAUGGCAUGGUCAACAUUUCUUAGGCAGAACCCGUUGUGUGACAGUUGUUCAUAAAGGUGAAAACAGAAGUGACCUCUUCCAGCAUCUCGGUAACUAGGGUUGGGCUUGCACAAACAGCUUGGCAUCUGCCGCCACAUCUUUAGCGAGUUGGCAGCCUCGAUGCCCUUUGCAGGUUGCAAUCAAACCUGCCUUCUACAGAAACCUCUUUCUGGCUGAUUAACUUUAAUGUAAUUUUAAUUAAAAACCACAGUGUCAAAGGGUUUAGCUGCUUGAGAAAUAAGCACAGAUUGUGGCACAGUGGCAGCAGUCACUUGGAAAAUGGAAAUGCAUCCUGACAAUAUUGUGCGGGGGCCAGAUAAACAAAGCUGCAGCUCUCUUACCUCGCACAUCACAAUAGCAAGGACCACUUACAAAAAUCACAUAGAUCCCUUUGCCGAUCUCACAUUUCAGAUGUUUGAUGUUCUACAAUCUCCAAUGCACCGUUUCAAAUAUUAUAAAGUAAAAUGAAAAACAAAAACCAAAAAACCUCACAGCCUUUUUCUUCAGCAUUAUGAAUUUAAGGAUAAUUUUUAUAUAUGUGUGUAGCAAUUCUUGUUUGUUUUGAAUUGCUGAGUUUUUUCUUCGUGGUCUAAAAUAACAACUCCCAUUCCCCCCACCUUAGGUUAUGAAGAAGAAGAAGGGGGAAAACAGAUGCACCAUCCUUCUCCAUUCACAUCUGAAAGUAAGUUCUAUACAUGUGAUGUUUCAAUUUUCUUUGCUGCUAGCUCUUCAUGUCGCUUGAAGCACUUGAGACCCUUCUUUUAUUGUUAGAGAAACUGAAUUAUAUUAUAAUUUAUUUCACUGCAUUCAGAAACUACUAAACAAUAGACAGUUAUAUAUGGUACUUUACUAUCUUCAUAUCUUUAAUACACCUUUAUUUCAUAGUGCAGAGAUGACUUUUAUCCCAUUUGCAUAGGUCCAUGGAACUGCAGAAGGUGGCAUUGCUCCGCUUUGUCAGUUCCUUCUUGCUGCUCAGUUUCAGUUCUGAGAUCUGAGAACUCAUCGAAGUGUGCAAAUUUCAAAUACUUUUCUGCACAAUUUUAUUUUUUAUUUCAAUUUGAUUAAAAACAUUUCUCUGCCGCGCUUUAUAUCACACUUACCCUAAGUUUUGUACAAAUUGAAAACCACAUGUAUUCAAUAUAAAUUUAAGAUAUUUAACAUAUACGGUAUUACAAAAUUUAUAUGAAAAUAAUAGCUGUGGCGAUUCUGUCAUGCAGAUAUUCCUGGUUUGGGAAGGGUUGAGUGACAGAACCUGUUUUUAGAACCCAUCAAGGUCAGUGCAUGCCAGAUUUGUUAUGCAUUUUUGGAGGUUUUUUAAAAAUAGGAAAUCCUAUAGUUAUUUACCUGGGCGUAAGCCACAUUGAACUUAGUUCUGCUUACCUCUAGGUGGAUAUAGAUCAGGGGUAGGCAACCUAAGGCCCGGGGGCCCGAUGCGGCCCAAUCGCCUUCUCAGUCUGGCCCGCGGAUAGUCCGGGAAUCAGCGUGUUUUACAUGAGUAGAAUGUGUGCUUUUAUUUAAAAUGCAUUUAUGGGGCCUGCCUGGUGUUUUUACAUGAGUAGAAUGUGUGCUUUUAUUUAAAAUGCAUCUCUGUGUUAGUUGGGGGGCAUAGGAAUUCGUUCAUUCCCCCCCCCAAAAAAUAUAGUCCAGCCCACCACAUGGUCUGAGGGACGGUGGACUGGCCCAUGGCUGAAAAAGGUUGCUGACCCCUGAUAUAGAUAGAGGUAAAGGAAAAGGAAUUGCAGUGUUAUUCGCUGCUUUCCUCUGAGCAAGUAGACCAGUAGCUAACAUACAUCCUCCAGGUGUUGCAAGACUCCAGUACCAAUCAUCCCUGACCACUGGCCAUGCUGGCUGGGCUGAUAGGAAUUAGAGUCCAACAGCACCUAGAGGAACACCUACUCCUGUAGUAGACUGUUAGGGUUGCAGUAGCAUUCAGAAAGCAUAUGACUUGACAGUGACUAAUAAAACCCUUGAAAUGAUAACGGAGUAAACAGCUGAUUUGCAUACUCCAGGCAUAAGAUAAUCAGUGGUGUUGUGAAAUCUGCCUUGUUGUCUUUUCUUUGUAGGCUAAACCAUAGCUACUCCUUAUCAUUCAUGCAGGCACAGUACAAGAAUCCAUGCAACUGGGGAAAAAGUAGGCAAAACAAGCUGCAGAUAAUGUAGCAUAAGUAAAAAAUAAACAUGUUGUGAAAAUAUAACAAUUAAGGAAUCUAAGUUGCAGAAAGAUGGAACAAGUUGGUAGAUGUUCUGAUAAAUAUUUGUAGGAAAAGUUUGCAGUAAUCAAAAUAUUUUAUUUUCUGAGAAUAUUUAUGAAAUAUUUGGAGCCCAGGAAGAUUUCAAUCUACUUUUUUGUUCAGUAGAGGAGAAUUUUCUCCAUCCCCUUCAGAUUGCUGGGGCAUUUUCGAACAGAUGGUGGCUGUACAGGUGGGAAAGUUUCCAUGUGAACAGAAGGGUCACAAAUGUACUUACUGAGAGGAUAGACAGAACUAUGGGGGAGAGUUUAAAGCAGUAGGCAAAGGGAUGGGAAGUCUAUACCAAACCCAACAGUGAGGAAGAGGUUGCUAAAAUAAGCAGAUGGAUAGAUAGCAGGGAGAUAAUAAUGAAUUCUGAAAUAUGGAAUACACCUUUCAUAAUCAGACAUAAUGGAGAAGAAUGGCCUAAUAACAUAAACAUGGAGAUAAAAAAUGAUGUUCCGAAUAUUUUUAAAGUGCCAAUGUAAGAUGCAUGGCCAAUAAAAAAAGUAAAAGCAAUAUUGUGUGCACUUCCCAUUAUAUUAGGCUGAUUUGUAUACAAUACUAAACCAUGGUUUAGCAUUAUGAGCAUGACCUAGAACAAGGCUAAAGAAGCCUUAGGCUCCCAUGCUUGCCCCUCUCUUCCUUCGCAUCAUCCCCCACCGUUGGCCAUUCUGGCUGGGCCAAUGGGAAUUGUAGUCCCAAGUAUCUGGAGGGCACUAGGUUGGCUACCACCACCAUAAACACUUGUGCAGGAACUUGUUCAAAAAGUCCACAUUGUGCUAUUACACAUAAAUUAUAUCACAAUGGUCAUGCUUCCACUUGUGAAAGAGGUUGUGCAAGCAGAACCACAUCUUUGGAUUGGUUUCAUUUUUCUCACACGAAACAAGGUACAAAACAAAGGUAUCCCUUUGGUAGGAUUUUUUCAGUAGGAUCCCAAGCAGUUAUAGUACUUGUGUUAUUGUAGUGUGGAAGCUCUUAAGUGUGAUCUGUGAGUCUUGGCUUAAAUAAUGUUUCUGCUGCAAAUUCACUAGGUAGCCGAAGGCUUAGGCAAACAACUAUUUAUGUUUGUUCAAUGAGUUCAAGGUGGCAUAUAUUGAGAAAUAGUAGUGGGUAUUGGCCUGGGUCAUAGACAGCAGUCUGAAUUAAACCAGUAAUCAGCACCGAAGAAUAAGGCUGCAUUCCUAACACAGCUUGUUGUUGUUUAGUUGUUUACUCAUGUCCGACUCUUCGUGACCCCAUGGACCAGAGCACACCAGGCACUCCUGUCUUCCACUGCCUCGCGCAGCUUGGUCAAAUUCAUGCUGGUAGCUUCGAGAACACUGUCCAACCAUCUCGUCCUCUGUCGUCCCCUUCUCCAUGUGCCCUCAAUCUUUCCGAACAUCAGGGUCUUUUCCAGGGAGUCUUCUCUUCUCAUGAGGUGGCCAAAGUAUUGGAGCCUCAGCUUCAGGAUCUGUCCUUCCAGUGAGCACUCAGGGCUGAUUUCCUUAAGAAUGGAGAGGUUUGAUCUUCUUGUACUUCUUGCAGUCCAUGGGACUGCACAGUCCCACAGCUUACCUGAAAGCAAACCCUAUUUGAUUCAGUAGGACUUACUUCUGAAUAGACACAAUGAGGAUUGUACUGUAGGUCAGAACUGGAAGAUGAACCAGGAGGAAGGAUCUAAGAACAAGCCAGAAAUCAGAAACUGAAGUGUAAUAAAGAAUACAGGAGCAUACCAAAGCUCAAAAAGCCUUCACUGCUCGAGCAAGUCUCAACUGGUGCAGGAAGCUCUGUGAUACUUUUUCCUAUCCAGCAGAACAAAAUGGCCAGCCUGGGUAGGCAAGGUCAAUUCAGCACCUGAAGUUACUUCACUGAGAACCUACAGUUCAUCAUAUGCAGAUGUUUCACACACAUCUAGCAGUUCUUAACUCUGCCCCAUGCUUACCCAGUGUGCUGCAUGGCUGAGCUUGAGUCCCCACUUCACCUCACUGGUUCCUGGUGAGGUCCUGUUACCCUCAGUUCACAUCACCUUUGAUAUACGGCUGAUGACUCAUUAUAAGUUUGUUGAGAAGAGAUCAUGUUUCUGAUGCAUUUUGGAAUCUUCACAGUUCAAAAUCAAUAUAAAAUAUAAAUAAUCAUAACAAAGCUAAAACAAGGUGAUCAUCAUCAUAAUAAAAAAAGAUCUAAAGCAAGGUGAUUAUAAGACUUUUUCUAAUGUAGGCCUUUUCCCCCCCAGUGCAUACUGAAACUGUGUUAAAAACUAAUUAGCGGGCAGCCCCUUCCUCCCCUUAUCUCCAACUGGGUGGAAAGCAAAAAAUACAGCUGCAGGCUUAAAGACAGAGAAUAUUUUGUGGAAUAAAAAGCUUCUCUUACAAAGCCUAAAUAAGUUUCAUAAAAAGUAAGAAUAUGCACUGCUUCACCUUACUUUAAGUAUCUAAGUUAAAAUAAUAAACACUAAAAUAGAAAAUGAGGAAUGUCUUGUGUGAACAGAAGACAACUCCCUGGUUUAAAGAUGACUGAAAAUCCAUUUUUGUUUCAUCUGUAACUAAUGAAUGUGACUGGUUAAACAGUGUGAUUUGAUCAGCCGGUGCUUCAUGAACCUAUGUAAAAUUAAACUAUUCAUGUUAAAUGUAUCCAAUGCUUUGGAAUUUCAUAGCUGCCCCUUAACGUGCUCGGUCAUUUUCCAGUGAUUUCAAUAAAUUGUGGAUUGUAACUUGAGCAGAUUAUUCUGAAAGCCUGAAUCUGGCCACUGAAACUGGCCUCUGAGGGAUGUGAUUGUAAACCCCUGCAUUUAUGCCCAGUUUUAUCUAGCUGAAGAAUCUGGGCCCCUGUGUUUGGCAGCCCUGUCUUUGAAAUCCCUUUGGGUACCAGAACCACUCAGCUUUGCCUCUCCAUUCUUUCUGAGCUUGUGAACAAGGUUCUAAGGAUAUUCCACAUGGAAGCAGGCAAGUGCUGCUUUUAUGAUCACCAAGGGAUGAUGUUUCCCUGAAGCCUUUUCAUGUUUCCUGGAUAAAGCUGAGCUGCUGCCUCAAGCCCAUUUGACUCACAUAUGCAAUUCCCUUCCAUAACCAAGUUUCAUUGUAAAUCUAGAGGGAAAUGCCCAAGGGUCUAUUCCUCACAACAAUGUGGUGUGUGUACAGCAUUUUACUGCACGCAUGUAAGCCUUCCUUUAUGAAUCAAGCCGUAGGUGUUUAUCCAUAACAACGAAGAUAUCUAAUUGCAUGAAAUAAAGCACUGCUUUUCAGACUGAGAAGAAAUUAUUUAAGAAUAUUAAAGUAGGCUGCAUUAAAAAGGUUCAAAUCAUAUGAAAUGUAAAAGGCAAUAAAAGGGCAUCUGUUUACAGAGCCAUUUAUUCCUGAUAGAGUUACUGUGUAUAACAAUGAAUGCAGCAAGUCUGAUUUCAUAAAUGAAAAAUACCUGAAUACAAAUUUUAACACUUGAACAACUAUACUUUCAGAUCCUAAUGAAUUUAAUUGUUAUUUUUUUGGAAUUUCAUCUGAAACUGAGGACUGUUCUGAAUUUUCAUGAAUGUUCUGAGGACUGUUCUGAAUUUUCUGAAUGUUCUGAGUGUUCAUGAUGGUAUUGGGGUAGUUACGUUUCUGAGCAUUUCAAAAUGUUGGUGCUGACCUUUAAAGCCCUAAACAGCCUCGGCCCAGUAUACCUGAAGGAGCGUCUCCACCCCCAUUGUCCAACCCAGACACUGAGGUCCAGCUCCAAGGGCCUUCUGGCGGUUCCCUCACUGCAAGAAGCUCACAGAUGGGUGGCCUAGAAGCAAUCUCUACUUGCCAUAGGUGACUCCUCAGUUUACAAGAAUUUGAUAGGUUGAGGCAGCCACCACAGGCAAUUGAUCUGUGCUGUCAUAGAAGAGCAGCAAACUAUUAGUUAUUUAAUUUAUUAUUUGUUGAACGGUUACUGCAGGUUACAGGUGAAUGGUUGAAUGGUUAUAGGUGGUCAUGGGAUAUUUGGGAUAUCAUGGGAUAUUCUGUACUAGGUGCCAAAAUAACUUGAGUGACCUUGAUUACUGUGCACCUUGGCUUGGGGACAGGACAGGUAGACAUUUGCUUCUCCCACCCCACCCCUAUCGUUCAGCCCAGACACUGAGGUCCAGCGCCGAGGGCCUUCUGGCGGUUCCCUCCCUGCGAGAAGUGAGGUUACAGAGAACCAGGCAGAGGGCCUUCUCGGUAGUGGCGCCCACCCUGUGGAACACCCUCCCACAAGAUGUCAAAGGAAAAAACAACUACCAGACUUUUAGCAGACAGCUGAAGGCAGCCCUGUUUAGGGAAGCUUUUAAUAUCUGAAGGACUAUUGUAUUUUAAUAUUUUGUUGGAAGCCGCCCAGAGUGGCUGGGGAAACCCAGCCAGAUGGGCGGGGUAUAAAAUUGUUGUUGUUGUUGUUUUAUUAUACACAACGCUGCUUUCAAUAGUUUGUGCCUGCAGAUGUUUCAGGGAGGACAUACUGCUUCAUUUCCAAACUGCUUCCUGCUGAAAUCCUGUACAGUAAUGUUUUAUACCACAAAUGUUACGGGGCUCUUUUUGUUCCACUUUUGUUGCACUAUGGUGCAAGAUUCCCCCUCUGGAUAGCAAUAAUGUGGUAAUUUGGGGGGACACCACAGAAGAACUAAUAAAGCGCCACACUGGACGGUCUAUUAUAAAUCCCCUACUAAUGUGCUAUUAUUGUGUCAUGACGUGUUGCAGAAUACACCUGUAAAAAAACCACUAAUCUGGAGGAGUCCAUGGUUAGUGAGGUACUUGAGUACAGUGGUACCUCGGGUUAAGAACUUAAUUUGUUCUGGAGGUCCAUUCUUAACCUGAAACUGUUCUUAAUCGGAGGUACCACUUUAGCUAAUGGGGCCUCGCGCCACCACCGCACGAUUUCUGUUCUCAUCCUGAAGCAAAGUUCUUAACCUGAGGUACUAUUUCUGUGUUAGCGGAGUCUGUAACCUGAAGUGUCUGUAACCUGAAGCGUCUGUAACCCAAGGUACCACUGUAAUGUCCUUGAAUAUAGUGGGGUUACCCAGGUAGGAGGGAUGCUUGAUUAUCCUAACAAAAGAGAGAUGCUGGCAACCCUGGAUCACUUGGUGAUCUUCCAUAGAGCACUUGGCUGACUGGCUCCUUUUUUCUUGAUGCGUCUUUCUGUGGGUUGCCCUACUGUGCUGCAGAACCAUUUGCUGUGCAUGAAGAUUAGCUGCCAUGCCACUUCUGGUCAUUAGAGCUGGCUUUCUGGCCUGGUUAGCUUUGUUGGCUGGCUGAACCCACUCAGGGCUCCUCCAGGUGGCCUGUACAUUGAGCAUUCGCCCUGAUUUGUUUGCACAAAGUAUAUGCAGAGGUUGUAUGAUGUCCGCUCUUUAUUGAGCCCUCAUUCUGGAUAUUUUGCAGGGAAGUUAUAUGACAAUCAGCAUUCACCCCAAUUUGCUUGUGCAAUGUUUAUAUAUUUCCCUGUUAACCAUUUGUUCAUCCCACACUUCUCAGUGCAUUUCCCCAUAGCAUUCCUAACCACAAAAAGUCAUUGAAAGAAAAAAGUUGAUUUCCUGCACCAGAUUGACUAAGCACUUUAAUCUAAAUUUCGGGUACAUGCUUGAUUUCCUCUCACUAAAUACUCACAACCUAGAGGUGACCUCAGUUUCUGUUGUUGUAAAUCCAUGCACACCUGGCAAUUCUUCUUGUCUCAUCUAGAUGAUCAGUCCCUUUGGGAAUAAAAAAGCAAAGUUUUGGUCAUUAUCAGAUGCCAAGACUCACCAUUUUGAAGGCCCUUAGAGACAAGACUGUCAGCACUCUAUUGAACCACUGGUGAUACCCCAAGUUUCCAGAGUUGACAGUUAAAACGAAUGGCAACAGCAGCAAAUUCUCCUUUCCUUUGGCUCACAGUCUGGGAGGUUUACACAGUCUUAAGAAGACUCGACAGUGCAAGUGUUAUAUAAACCAAUUAUCCUUCAGAUACCUGUGCAGCAGGUAGCUCACAUUAAACCCACUCUCCAAAUGAACAAUUGUCGGCGAGAGAUUAAUUGGAAGCUUUUAAAAUAACCCUGAAAAUAGGUGUGCUCAUGUCAGUUAGUACACUGAGUUGAAUUAAAGCAUCACAAAUGAUGUGGUUUGUGUCUAAUUGAAAGUGAUUAAUGCUGACCAUGCAGCCUUGCUGUCUGCAAUAGAUGUCUUCUGCAUACAUCUGUGGGGAAGUGGUUAGCACUGCCCUUCCUUGGUUUGCACCUCCAGCAUAGUGCCAAAACACCUAGAGAGGGUGUGAUGAUUUAUGCAAUUAAUGAAAUGAAACCCCCCCAAAAUUGUGGGAAAACAUUUGCAAUUUUGUUCCCAGACACAAUCAUUUUCUUGUGCUGCAUUGGAUUUGUUUCAUGCUUGGUUGCUAAAAAGAUGAUUGACUCAUGCUGGUGCAGUGCUCAUAUUGCAGAGGGGUCCAGAAAGGGCCUGCACUCCCUUUUGCUACUGUUCACAGAAGGCUCUGGGGGCAUGAUUUGGCUAAAUUUGGGAGAAGUCAGGUGGUAGGGCUUGUGUAUUUCAAUAAUUUGGGCCUUUGGCCAAUGUGUGAAAUAUCAUUGUUGCCUUUUAUAUUACUAUUCUGCAACUGACACAUUGGGAUCUACAUGGCUCAUGUGUUUCUUAACCUAAAGAGGAAUGCAUCUUUUUUAUGGGAAGAGAGUUAACAGAAGGGGCAGAAAGAGCGUAAAAGGAAAAACCAGACACAAAGGAAGUUGGCCUCCUUUUUCUUUAAUACUUGUGCAGAAGAGAGAAUUGCUGGCAGUGUAGCUUUUCAUAGGACAUGUGCAAGUAAAGAUUCACUUGCCAAAACUCCCUCCUCUCUCCUGUUCUCCUUUGCAUCUUGUCACCUUUCACCAGCAAUAGCCAACAUUGGUACCCUCUAGGAAGUAUAACUUCCAUCAUCUCCUAUCAGCAUGGUCAAUAGUCAGGGAUGGCAGAGUUGGAUUCCAACAGCAUCUACAGGGCCACAAUUUCAGUUUGCUGUUGAGGAUUUACAUGCCUGAACCCAUACAAAAAACACAUAAACAAAACAAUCCCUGUACCUAGAAAAUUAGGGCUGAAAUUGAAUUUAAUAGAACUUAUUUCUGAGUAGACGUCCAUAGUGUCAUGACUCCUGACACAUAGGGCCGAGUUGCAAAUGUAAAGUAGAAGCCUAGGCUAGAACUCUCCUCCUGGAUAGGUUUGUUUUCUCUAUAGGGCAACCUUUGUGUGUGAAAGUGUGUGUGUGAAAGCAUUAAUUCAUGCAUUACUCCCACUUGCAGUGGGAAAGAAAUCAUAGCCCAGCCACAAACAUGCCACCUAAUAUUCUAUUUGUAAGAGUAAAGCGCAAAACGUAAUGGCAUUUCCUUACAAUUUGUGCCCAAUGCGUCUGGUUUAGGUUCUAGCUUGAAGAGCAGCCAAAAGCUAGGUAAAGGUAAAGGGACCCCUGACCAUUAGGUCCAGUCAUGGCCGACUCUGGGGUUGCGGCGCUCAUCUUGCUUUAUUGGCCAAGGGAGGCGGCGUACAGCUUCCAGGUCAUGUGGCCAGCAUGACUAAGCCGCUUCUGGCGAACCAGAGCAGUGCACGGAAACGCCAUUUACCUUCCUGCCGGAGUCGUACCUAUUUAUCUACUUGCACUUUGACGUGCUUUCGAAAUGCUAGGUUGGCAGGAGCAGGGACCGAGCAACGGGAGCUCACCCCGUCGCGGGGAUUCUAACCGCCAACCUUCUGAUUGGCAAGUCCUAGGCUCUGUGGUUUAACCCACAGCGCCAUAGUCUAAAACAGUAUUCCCAACCUAAUGCCCUCCUGAUGAUGUUGGACCAACCCUUAUCAGCCCCAGCCAGCAUGGGGAUGAAAGAAAUGAAGUUCCGAAUAUUUGGAGAGAACCAGGCUGGAGAUGGCUGUUCUAAGAUGUAUGGGUGGGGUCUAACAAAUGGCAAGUGUGUUAUGCUUCAUUCUUCCCCUUUCUUUCGAUGUUAAUUCACAUACUUCCUCUGUGGGUUUAUGUGUCCAAUUGCGGUUCAUACUAGAAGCAGAAGCAGCAGAAAAUCUGUGAGAAAGAUUGAAUUUUGCAUAUAAUUUCAGAAACCCUUUUAGAAAUGAAUUAAAGCCCUUCCACAUAGCAGGAGAACCCUCAGGCAUAAUUCUACAUAACUAUUAAUAUGCAGUAUAAAAUAUGCAGUAUUUUCUCUCUCAUAAAAGCAGUUUUACAACUGUGCUAAAGCUAAGUCAUAUUCAGGUCUCAAUUUUGACCUAAGCCUAUUUUGACCUUUUUCUUUUUCCACACUGUGAACACUAGACUUUUAAUAUUCAUCAGUCUUGCAUGCAAGUGAAGAAUUAAGUAGAUUUAGAUGUGAAAUGUUGGAUCCUCUAUGCAUUACAUUCUUAACCUAAUUUUACAUGUAACAUUGUAGAAAACAACUUUGAACUUCUCUUAUGACAUUUUUGUUCUGCAUGAAUGUUGUUUUAUAUAUGAUAGAAAGUUGAAGAAUACAGGUUCUGCAUUUCUGUUUUACAUAUGUGAUAGGACAUCACGUUUGUUUUUUUAAUUACCCUUGUUGAAGGGCCAGUCACCAAAGAACAUUGUGCAGAAGUAUUAAGAAAGUUGGCCACUUUGGGACACAAAGGAGGAAAGACAUGUUGCAGAAAAUAACAAAAGGAAAACUACUAGCCCGCAAUCUGUCCUUGAGAGCCAGGCCAUUUAGGGGUUGGUGAGCACUUGGUGUUAGUCUUUGUGGAACAAUCAGACCAGUACUGGGCAAUAAGGAAUGAUUGAGAUAGUCUAGCUGUUUCCUCAAAUGUCUCUAGCUGUUUCCCCAAAUUGUUCUGGUGGUGUCAAUAGAGUUGCACUGAAAUUGGAGCCCUCAGCCCACCUCCAGUUAGAAACAUUGGUCCAUCUAGCUUAGUAUUACAGUGGUUUUCGAACGCCUCCGUAGUCAAACGUUUCAGAACUCAAACGCUGAAAACCUGGAAGCAAGUGCCUCGAUUUUCAAACGCACCUUGGAAGUCGAACAGGAAACGCGGCUUCUGUUUUGAGUUUUCCGUUUUGAGGCUUCCACUUUCGGUUUUCGGUUUUCAAACGUUUCAGAACUCAAACGGACUUCCGGAACGGAUUAUGUUAGAAAACCGAGAUACCACUGUAUAUACACAGACAGGCAGAGGCUCUCCAUCAGUUUAGACAGGGUCUUUCCUAGCUGUAAGCGGAAAUGCUGGGAAUUGAACCUACAGCCUUCUUCCUACACAUGUGUGUAAUACCAAAUGAAACAAUGGCUUUCUGCACACAAACCUGUGCUCUAUUACAACCCCUCCCUAAUAAUAAUAAUAAUAAUAAUAAUAAUUCCACUAGCGCUUACAGUAAAACAAAUGAAAUCUUCAGUUUCUCAAGCUGGAUUGACUAAUUAAUGGUUUGAAGCCAGUGGUUUUAGACAUUGGAUGCCGUAAAGCAGAGCAGCAGGUUUUCUUAACGGAAUGCUCUGGACUGGAGAAUUGCCACCCCAUUCUGUGCAGCCAUUCAGUGGCAGCAUCACAGUGCAUCAGGGGUACAAAUGGGAGACAAACUGGAUCUGCCAAAUAACUUCAUUGCUCAAAAUUAGUAGGUCUGGGAGUCGCCACUGUCUUCAACCCCGGAGAGAUGCUGUAGACAACACUAAGGUAGGUGGACCAGUGGUAUGACUCAGUUUAUAAGGCAGCUUCCUAUGCUCCUAUGUGCAUAAAAGAAAGGGGUUCACACAAGGCCACGAGAGAGCUGCUAAAACCAUUACUAACAUAGUUCAUAUCCUUCAACAACAGUGACAGUGAUGGCCGAUGAAUGAGCACUGAUUUUAAACUUUGGAACACAGAUUUUAGUUGAAGGAGUGGUUUUUUUUUUUAAAUAUAAAUGAGUUUAUAGGGAAUUUCUAGUUACGUUCGCCUCUUGAUGCUGAAGAAGCGUGUGUUGCUGUUGUUAAUUUUGCUGUCCGGUCUUUGAUAAAGAUUGAUUGAUUGAUUGAAUCCUUCAACAAAUUAAAUUCCUUUAGAAGCACCUUGUUUCUUUUGGUAGCAGGACUGUAAACACUGGCAGAAAAGAAGAAAAGAGAACACAGUUCUAUGCCAGAUAAUUUAAAUAGUGUAGACCAAACUGAGCAUGCCAUUUGGCUCAUGUUGCAGCAAGAUAUGCAAAUGACUCCAAACCUUCUGAGAAUCUUGUCUUCAGCGAAGAUAACACAUCAGAAAGAAGAGCUCAUUCCCUAGGUUGUGCAAAAUGGAUUUCUGAGGAAGGGACGCAUGCCCCUACUCAGAGAAGUAUGAAUCCUAAAAUGCCCUCAUCUUUAAACACUUGCUGCCAUCUUAGGCACUUGAAGACAAAUCAAAUAAAUAUUUUAGUUUGUGAGCACCAUAUGGCUAACACUUCACAUUGCGGUGCCAGCUGCCAAUUUGUUUGUUGGUGUUUGGCUUUCAAGUUACUGCCUGAUUGAUAAUGAAAGCAUACACUUUCCAUUUCUUUGUCAGCAGUUAGAGGUAUGUUUCUGAGUUCAAAUACAGUUAACGUAGAAUGGAAAAAAUUAGACUUAUUCCCCACUCCCAUUGUUUGCAUGAAUUGACAUAUGAUCUACAUAGUACAUUUAUAAAAUUUUGGCUAUAACUGAUAGGAAUGGAACCACCAUAUUCAAAGUAAUAUUUACCAGAUACAUGAGAGUAAGGAAGACUACCGCCAUCAUAUCAUGCAUGCUGUAAGCUCCCAUUAGCACAUAGUUGGUCUUCAUUCCUAAUAGAAUGCUGGUCUAAUAGAGAAUACAUAUACAGUUGUACCUUGGUUGACGAACGUCUUGCGACUCAAACGCUUUGGCUCCCAAACACUGCAAACCUGGAAGUGAGUGUUUCAGUUUGCGAACGUUCUUUGGAACCUGAACGUCCAACGUGGCUUCCGCGACUUCCGAUUGAGUGCAGGAAGCUCCUGCAGCCAAUUGGAAGCCGUGCCUUGGUUUUCAAAUGUUUUCAGAAGUCAAACGGACUUCUGGAAUGGAUUCCGUUCGACAACCAAGGUACACACACACACACACACAUUCCCUAUUAGGGCUGUAUUUCCUUGGAAGAAAUCUCAAAGAGGUUACUUGAUAGGUGAGGCCACCCCCCCUCUCCCUUUCUGCAAUCCUUCCUUCCUUCCUUCCUUCCUUCCUUCCUUCCUUCCUUUCUGACGCACCCUUUCUCUCUCCUUCUCAUUGUCCAGUACACUGCUGUGGAAAGGGCAAAUCAAUCUUGUCAAAGGUCUGAACUGAUAGCCCCCCCCCUUUCUUUCUCAUGUCACUCAGCCCCCAGAUUUCCCCACCUUCAUUAAAUUAAGCUGCAAGAUCUAGAUGGACCUUUGGUCUGAUCCAGCAAUAAUUUAUUCUGUGUUUAAUUAGUUUAUUUCCCACUACUUUUUUUUAAGCCUUUGGUCCUUUAUAUUUAGUUAAUAUAAUUAAAAUAUCCAACUUUCUUGUUUCACUUCUGUUGCCUUCGGAAAUAUGGACCAAAACAUCUUACUUUGGCUAGUUAAGAUUGCCAUGAAUAACUUGAGAGCGUCCAUCCCACCUGUGACAAAGUGAUGAGUUUAAGGGAAGGGAUAACAUCUAGGCCAGUGUCUACAAAUGGAGCACUUGCACAUGGAGGUUACCCGAUCAUCUGUCUCCAUAUAUAUAGUAGGCUGUUUGCCUGUACAAUGCACUGCCUUGGAAAAUGCAUUGAGCAUUUCUUCUCUGUUCCUCUUGCUCUACAAACCCAUAGAAAAAAUGGGAUGGGAAUAUUCCAUGACAAAAGUGUAAGAUCUGCUGAAGAAAGUUUUAAAUCAGAACAGAAUGAAUUAUUUCCAUUUAUCUUCACUUGAGAUUAAUGCCUGCCCUUCUGUUAUUUUCUUCUUCUUCCUGGUAACAUAUCUGAAGAAAUGGACGUAUUUUCCCUUUCCAGACUUUUCAUGCCAGUGAAAUAGAGGUUGUGCUACAUCUGAUUCUUCUUUUAUCCUCUCUUUUAUCCUCCUCUGAUGAGACUUUCAUGCCCACUUGCCCCACAUGUGAUUGUGGAAAUUUGCAGUCAAAUCUAACAGUGCAUAUUCUUUCUAUUUAGCAUGUGGAGGGGUUAAGACCAUGCAGACCAUAGAAAAGUAAUAGGUAGAGAAGGCUCCGUGUGAUGUCAUUUCCCCUCCUCUCCUGGGAAGGAAGAAGCAAAAUGAGUACUUCCUGUUCCUUCUCCCCCUCUCUUCAGCCAACUGUGGGGGCAGACAUGCCUCAAAGUUAGCAACAGGCACCUGCCUGAAACUGUUUUUCUAUAAGCACAAGUAUUUUACCUUCAUUUAAUUUAAUGCUGUUGCUGCUAAGGACGAAUGCUUGACUGUGAGUUUUAUUUUAAACUUACUUUUCAAUCUGUAACCUGUUUCUUUGAAAAAUGUGGUAACGAAGGGGGAGAUCAGCCGAACAGCUAAUUCCUAUACUUUCAAUUAAACCGCCUAAGAUGGGAUUUAAACUGUUUAGCUCUGUGCUUUUAAAUGCAGCUGGUAAGCUGAUCCUUUUGUCUGUGAACCAACAUCCAUGGGUCUGUAACGGAAUGAAAUAUGGUUAUUAAAACCCAUAAGUGAUGUCAUAUGUGAUGUCAGGUGAGGGGAAGGCACAGAAGAAACCAAAAUGAAGCAACCAGGAACUUAAAGAGAGUUUCUGAUAGUUAACCCUGUCAGUGCUGAUCAGCUGAACAUAGUUGACAGGGAGCCCGACUGCUAUCAGCUGCAUGUCAGAGCUGCUAGCUUCAUGUCAAGUUCAACUGAGGGAGGCUUGCUUUCUCUGUGUGGAAGAAGUGGUUUGGAUUCAGGUGUCUGAAGAGGGGAAAAGCUCCAUUUACAAGGACUCAGGGCUGACCUCCCACAGAGCCACCAGCAAAUGCCACCAGUAAGUCUCCAAGAAAUCUCCUCUUUUACAAUACCAGAUGCUUCCAAAAGCCUGGAAGUUUAAAGCUGAUACUGGCUCCUGACAUCAUUGCCAAGGCUGGCCCCAAACCUUUUCUUCUUGUAAGGGGCUUAUCCACCUUACCUCUUUUCAGGCAGAGGUCUGUGCUUUAACACUUUGUGUCUGAGUGUGUGCUUUGAUUUUGUUUGCCCCGAGCUUCCCCUGCAAAACCCCACUCUUUAAAGCUGAAUCAGAACAAGGUCUGUUCCAGCAUUCCACAAAUUGAUAUUUGCUCCACUGGGACAAAAAAAGAAAAGUAGGGCAGGGGGUCCUAAGACACAGAUGUAUAAAUUUUCUAUCUCAAACCUUUAUUGGCAUAUACCGUAGAUAAAAUUCCAAAAGAUUCAGUACAAUACAAUCACUCCGCAAAAUCUGUAUCUAACAAGUAAAAUGCUGUUGCAUAACAUUCACAAACCCUCAUUGCAUGUUGCAGAAACCUGGCUACUAAGGAUCUUUUAAAUUGCAGACUGUGUCUGGAAAGAGCGGAGGAAAGGUAAGUGUGUAUAAGCCCAAGAUGGCAAACACACACACACACCAAUUCCAUUUACAGAGGACAAUUGCAUCUGCAGUUGAAUCUUCCUUCAACAUCAGCAGAAGGACAUUGGAGGGCAGAAGGUUUACUUAGGAGGCAGGGCAGGCAGGCUGGCUUUAUAGCACACUCAAGUUUGAACUCUUAACACUUUGCUGCUCAUCCCUGCUCCCUGCUCCACCACCUCAGCUUUGCUGUUGUUGUUUAGUUGUUUAGUCGUGUCCAGCUCUUCGUGACCCCAUGGACCAGAGCACACCAGGCACUCCUGUCUUCUACUGCCUCCAGCAGUUUGGUCAAACUCAUGCUGGUAGCUUCGAGAACACUGUCUAACCAUCUCGUCCUCUGUCGUCCCCUUCUACUUGUGCCCUUAAUCUUUCCUAACAUCAGGGUCUUUUCCAGGGAGUCUUCUCUUCUCAUGAGGUGGCCAAAGUAUUGGAGCCUCAGCUUCAGGAUCUGUCCUUUAAGUGAGCACUCAGGUCUGAUUUCCUUAAGAAUGAACAGGUUUGAUCUUCUUGCAGUCCAUGGGACUCUCAAGAGUCUCCUCCAGCACCAUAAUUCAAAAGCAUCCAUUCUUCGGUGAUCAGCCUUCUUUAUGGUCCAGCUCUCACUUCCAUACAUCACUACUGGGAAAACCAUAGCUUUUACUAUACGGACCUUUGUUGGCAAGGUGAUGUCUCUGCUUUUUAAGAUGCUGUCUAGGUUUGUCAUUGCUUUUCUCCCAAGAAGCAGGCGUCUUGUCUCGCUGUGCCUGAUGGUAAGGCUGGCCCUAGCCAUUGCCAUUGGAGGGAGGAAUGGGAGAGCAAAAAUACAACAGCACUGGGGUUUUUUGCAGCACUGUCUGUGGACAUAUGUUGCUUUCUUACAGCAUAGCCAAAAGGGGACCCUGCUUGCUACGUUGGGCAUGAUGCAGACAGAUCAGGAAUGGGAAAGCACCAUAAAGCCAUCUUUUUAUUUGUGAGGGCUCGGCAAUUCCUAGCUGCAGAUGAGCAACAAGCUGCUUUUUCAACGGCUGUUUUAAAGUGUGCCUUAACAUUCAAAAGCCAAGAAAAGAAUGGGAGAAAUUUGCAUUUCCAGUCCACAUUAUAGGCGUUUCAGUCGGUAUUGCUAAUUGCUUGCACACUUCCCAAAUGCACCAGAGUGGACAGGGCUUUUGCAUGGUGCCGCACUUGGCAGUUCCAGGUUUUCCACUUGGCGCAUAACGUUUUUGCGAGCCAUUUUCUUUUCCCUCCUCAAGCAUGGCGUAAUAGGCUUUAAGUUUGUUAAGCUGCGCUGCCAGCCCCCCUCCCAGUGCCCUGCUGUUCUAUUAUAUUGAACUUGUAAGCAGGACGCUCUGCCAGCUUCACCCAGAUUACUGCUGCAAUAAGGGCCCUGCUGAGUGACUAGUGUCAUGAUAAGUGCUAAGAAGGGAGCUCACCAUCUUGGCAUACUGUUCUCAUCUUAUUAAAUUCAGCUUUGUGGAAGCAGGGAGUCUGCCUCUCGGUCUGGCUGGCUCUACCUUGGUCCAACUGCUACUGUCAGACAAUAUGAAAUUAGGAGCCACCACAGCUAAUGGCAGGUGCUGCACCACAGCUGAGGAGUUGGGGAGGAGGAGGGGGAUGGAGAAAGAAAGAAAAGGAAGCAGUGUGUGUGUGUGUGUGUGUGUGUGUGUGUUUUUCAAGCCCUCGACAGAUUUAGAACCUCCAGCUUUAUACAUGUUGGUUCAGACCCUUAUAUUUUAAAGGGCCCUAAAAUUAGAUCACCCCAUGGCACUCAGAAAAAGGCAAGGCUUUAUUUACAUUGGUUAAGAUCCUUCUUGAAGGAGGGACAAUUGUAAACCAGGGUGGCUAACCUGCAGUUCUCCAGGUAUUGCUGGACUCCAUCUUCCCUGACCAUUGGCCAUGCUGGCUGGGAAGUCCAGCAACAUCUGCAGCAAACCACGUUGGGGAAAGCCUAUUUAGAGGUUUAACUCUAUUGCAAUUAUCUGUAUGGGUUAGUGAUGAUCUGGUUUUAUUCAGGCAAAGCUCUUUGUAAAUUAUUCUACUUUUGGUGUGUUCAUGUGCGAUUUUUAUCUGGCAGCGCAAUAGUUUUCCUUUGCCUCUUAUAUUUGGGCAAUGGUCUUUUGUAUCAUUCUUAUGCUUUUAAUUAGGUCUUUGAUAUUGUCCUUCGGAGACUACUUUUGCCAAAUGUUUGCCUGAGAUGUGAUGACUAUUUCCACCUGUGUAUUAGGUUACGGAUUUGUAAUAUUGGAAACAGCUCAAAAAUAUAUUUAUUUAAAAGUCCAGAUGUGAUGAGAGAUGUAAAAUUUGCUAUUGGUGUAAAAGAUUAAGUGACUUACUUCCUUUAACAAAAAAAAAAUGCAAUGUUUUCCUGCUGUCAGAGAAUUGCUUGAAAGACUCCCCUCCUCAGUUAGUGUUCUUUCUUCCUUCUGAGUGACACCCACCCCCCACUGCUAUUCAUUUUUAAGGAUCCCUUGCGCUCUAGGUGCAACUAAGAGGAAUCAGCAUGACUGCUGGUGCAAUGCCCAUGCUGGACUGUAGAACAUAUAGUACCAUGUGCUUAAAGAAACCAAACCUUUUAGAAACAUUUUUAUUGAAAUGAAAUGAUUAUUUUCUACAUUAUACAAAGCAAUUAUACAAUAAAUUGAACCUUUUGAGUCUUAAUGCUUUACACGUUUUAGAAUACCAUACUUACAUAUGCUGGGACACAACCAACAGGGUAUAAAAACAAGGCAUAAAGUCCUAAGUAGAAGACACUCUCCAAAAAGAUUUAUGAAAGAUUGGAGCCUGUACCUUGCUAUGAGUAGAGUUAACAUAAAAGGUGAAAUACAACCAUGUGCUCAGAAAUGUAUCCUGUUUUAUUUUGUCCCUGUCCAGUUUACUUUUGUUUUUUUCUUUUAAAAAAUUGGCUAAUGUCAUUUGCCAAAUCUUACCAUACUGCCUUCACGAAGAAAGCUGUUUUUUGCUAUUCUUGCAGUAUGUUAUCUCUAAAUGAGCCACAGUUAACAAGUGCAUUACUAGCUCUUUAUGCAGGACUGAUUUAUUUAGACCUCAGAAGAUAGAGAGCAAGUCCAGUGCUGAGUGCAGUUGAACUAAGCAAAAACUUUUUGCCAAAAAUCCUGAACCAAGGCACAACCCCACUUCAAUGUUUUAAUAAUCUGAAAAUGAAAUAGGCAAAUCAAUAGGCAAGGAAGGGAAAUCCAUAAGCAGUCAGCAUGCUCUGCUUGUGUACAUACCUGGUUGUUUGCCAAUAUAUUAAAAAGCUCCUUAUUUAAAUCAACUCAAAUAUAAAUUUAAUGUGUUUCCAAUUUAAUGUAUACUUGACUGUUUUGAUCAAGACACUGAUGUAGAGCACAGCUCUACAGUACAGUAUAUCAAAUUGAGAUCAGUACAAAAUCCAGCCUUAAAAAUCCACCCUCUUACUGUCGGAAUAGCUAAAACCUGGCAGGCUGCAGUUCAGCAGUCUACUUUCUGGCCCUGUCAGUCUUCAUAAGAGUGACAAAUUUGAUUAGAUCCAUUGAGAGGAGUGACUAAUAUUAAAAAAUCACUUUUACUUCUGCCCUUGAAAUGGCAGAAGGCAGACUGACAAUCAUUUACCACUACAAUAAAGUAAUGAGAUGAUAUAUAAGAACAAAGAUCUUGGGAUCUGAUCCAGCAGGAUUCUUAUAUUCUUCUGAAUAUAUACAAAUUGUUGUUACAUAUAAAAUAUGAUAUUUGAAAUUCUCAUCAAUAUUGUAAUAUACUUUUUUUAAAAAGCCUUCCUAGAAGUUUCUGGUGGGUCUCAUUCAACCGCAACACUGUUCCUACUGAACUCAUAAAGGUGCCUACCAAUUUAAUAUUUAAGCAUGUACUGAACUUAUUUCUGUUUCACCAAAGCUUUUCAUAGAAUUCAUUUGAUUGAGAGUUGGCCAUUCAUUCUGUAUUUUAUGAUAUUUUAAUACUUUUAUUGUGCACCACCGUGAUAGUUCCUUAUGAGCUGGCAGUUUAGAAAUCCUCCUAUAAAUAAAAUACAUAUACAGGAAUUAAUUUCAAAAUUGUUGUGCUACAGAGACAGCAUACAGACAGCCCUGCUCGAAGUGCUGCUAGUGAAACAACCCAAAUAAAUGCCACCUGAAACAUGGCUUCCUCAGGUGAUAUUAGGAGAUGAGCUGGUUCAUGUAAUGAAUGGUGUUCUCAGUCCAGUGAUAUUAUUCACACAGGCUAGCAAAAAUUUUAUUCGUUAACAUUAUACCUUGAUUUGCAUCCAGUUAGGCUAUCAGUGUGAUUAUCUAAUCAAGGGUCUUAUAUGAUCCCACAAGCCUAUAGAUGUAAGGUAAAGGUAUAGGACCUCUGGACGGUUACGUCCAGUCAAAAGCGACUAUGGAGUUGCGGCGUUCAUCUCACUUUCAGGCUGAUGGAGCCGGUGUUUGUCCACAGGCAGCUCUCCGGGUCACGUGGCCAGCAUGACUAAACCAAUUCUGGCACAACGGGACACCGUGACGGAAACCAGAGCGCACUGAAACAGUGUGUACCUUCUAGCCAUAGUGGAACCUAUUUAUCUACUUGCACUGGUGUGCUUCCAAACUGCUACGCCGGCAGGAGCUGGGACAGAGCAACAGGAGUUCACCCCAUCACUGAGAUUCGAACUGCUGACCUUCCGAUCAGCAACCCCAAGAGGCUCAGUGGUUUAGACCACAGCCACACCCACGUCCCUUCUCCUAUAGAUGUGAUAGAAUGUGGCCUGCUGCAUUCCAUACUGGCAGUAGUUUCCAAGUGAGGAGCUGAGUGAAGCAACCCGAGUAAAACCCUAAAAGCCACCCUACUGCAUAGUUUGAUUAGUCUGCAGGGUGAUUAAGACCUGAUAGAACCAAUGAGUACAUCAGCUACAAUUUGAACACCAGGCUGAAACCAGAGAACGACCAGUUAUCACCAUUGGUCUCUGCCCAGCCACAGCAAAAGCAGCCUCAAUGUAUGCAGAGAUAUGCAUACAUUGUUUGGUGUUUGUUAAACCAGACAAUAGCUGUUGGUUAAGGUGAACUGGGAUGGCCAGUAGUGUAACAUUGAAUUGGAUCCUGUGCCGGAAAUGAGGUUUUAUAAAGUAUCUGCUGCUUAUCUGUUUUAUAUUCAAUGAGUUAAAUUGUGUACAGAUUUUAAUUGUGUAGUUAAUAAUGCUUUAUUGUUUUGGUGUGAUCUUUUAUAGUAAGCUCCUUUGGGAGUCUCUAUAAUCCUGAAAAGUGGCAUAAAAAGUAAUUUAAAUACAAUAUAAUAAAUAAAGCCCUUUUGAAUUCAAUGGGACUUGCUUCUAGGUAAGUGUGUAUAAGACUGCAGCCUAAGUUCCUGUGACAUAAUAGUAUCAGCAGUUUAAUCUUACCCCCCAAAUUAGAAAAGCAGUUCAGUCUGCUUCUUUUUUUAGUGCUCCAUCAGAAUUAUUGCCCAAAUUAUCCAACACAGAAUUUGUGCUUCAGGGAACUUUAGAGACAGCCGGGGAAGCUAACAGCAAAUGGGAGUUCCUCUAACAAAUAGAUUCUAAUUGCUUUAUAAACAAUAAUUGUAGGGAAUCCUAUUUGGGACUGUAUCAUGACUGGCUUGUAACUGUAUAGCACCGUACAUGCUAAAAGGGGAGGCGGAAUGCUAACGAAGCAAAAUGCAAUAAGCAAUUUCUUUUGGGGGACGAGGCAGAUUAUAAUAUCAUUGCAUAAUAACAAUGUGCUAAUUGCUCCUUUUGACCAUGUGCCCGUUUUACUAAGCUUUUGCGUCAAUGUGCUCUGUACCCUGAAUUACAAAAGUAACGCUGCAUUAUUUCACGGCACAGCUUUGAAAAUCUUGGUAGGACAUUAUGUAUUAGCAUUAAUUAGAUGCAAAAAAGGGGACAGAACAAAGGUACUCACUAGCAGUUUAGAAAAGCCUUGGUGAUAAUGACACGGAUUACAAUUGUUGCAUUUUCUUUCAACUGAUGCUGGAGAAAGCAAACUCUCAACUUACAGCAUGUUACAUGGAAGUAAGUCCCACUGAUUGUUGUGGGAUUUGGUUCCAGGUAAUAUGUCUGGGAAUGCACAAUUUGGGAUAUGGCAUUUCAGGAUUUUCUCUUGGUAAUAAAUGCUAUACAAAACCCCCAAGAAGCAUAAGCAAUAAUUGGCAUCAGUUCAUUAAUUAUCUAAGAAACAAAGUGUGAACUCCUUAAAAGGACAACUGGCGUUAAUGUUUUUCCAAAUAUAUUUGAAAAAUAGCAGUGAUAUCACAAAAGAACAAAAUAUGGUUGGUUCAUGACAUUGAAUGGGGCAGAGAGUGUGUCAUUUUGCCCCAUCUUUUGCUAUGAGCUUAAAUUUGAGAGAUAGUGAGAUAGCCACGACUGCCUAUAAAAUGGAUAUUCGCAUAUAUGAUUCGGUGAGUGGGCCUGGUUGUCUGUCUUUGAUGUAUUUCAGUUUGCCAAUAGUUAUGAUGUUCCCCAUGCAUUGUUAUUUUUGUUCAUACUAAAAUAUGCUAUUUAGUCUAUACAAAUGCCUAAGAAGAUCUUACCCAAUAGUUUUGUGCUGUUUUAAAACGCGGAAUUUUAAUUGUAGUGAUUGUGGUUUUUAUAAUGCUGUAGCUUCGAUUCUUAACUGAAGUAUUAAGCAGUAUAGAAAUUGCAUGAAUAAAAACAAAUAAAAUAUGAUAGUACAGAGAGCUGUGGCUUUCAAAUUGGCCAUUAGCUGUGGUCAUAGGUUAUGGCCACAGGAUAGGCCUGUAGCUGAGAAUAAGUACCCCAGGUUCCACAGAGUAUGAAUCAUAGAAUCAUAGAAUCAUAGAGUUGGAAGAGACCACAAGGGCCAUCGAGUCCAACCCCCUGCCAAGCAGGAAACACCAUCAGAGCACUCCUGACAUAUGGUUGUCAAGCCUCUGCUUAAAGACCUCCAAAGAAGGAGACUCCACCACACUCCUUGGCAGCAAAUUCCAAUGUCGAACAGCUCUUACUGUCAGGAAGUUCUUCCUAAUGUUUAGGUGGAAUCUUCUUUCUUGUAGUUUGGAUCCAUUGCUCCAUGUCCGCUUCUCUGGAGCAGCAGAAAACAACCUUUCUCCCUCCUCUAUGUGACAUCCUUUUAUACAUUUGAACAUGGCUAUCAUAUCACCCCUUAACCUCCUCUUCUCCAGGCUAAACAUGCCCAGCUCCCUUAGCCGUUCCUCAUAAGGCAUCGUUUCCAGGCCUUUGACCAUUUUGGUUGCCCUCCUCUGGACACGUUCCAGCUUGUCAGUGUCCUUCUUGAACUGUGGUGCCCAGAACUGGACACAGUACUCCAGGUGAGGUCUGACCAGAGCAGAAUACAGUGGCACUAUUACUUCCCUUGAUCUAGAUGCUAUACUCCUAUUGAUGCAGCCCAGAAUUGCAUUGGCUUUUUAGCUGCCGCAUCACACUGUUGGCUCAUGUCAAGUUUGUGGUCAACCAAGACUCCUAGAUCCUUUUCACAUGUACUGCUCUCAAGCCAGGUGUCACCCAUCUUGUAUUUGUGCCUCUCAUUUUUUUGCCCAAGUGCAAUACUUUACAUUUCUCCUGUUAAAAUUCAUCUUGUUUGUUUUGGCCCAGUUCUCUAAUCUGUCAAGGUUGUUUUGAAGUGUGAUCCUGUCCUCUGGGGUGUUAGCCACCCCUCCCAGUUUGGUGUCAUCUGCAAAUUUGAUCAGGAUGCCCUUGAGUCCAUCAUCCAAGUCGUUGAUAAAGAUGUUGAAUAAGACCGGGCCCAAGACAGAACCCUGUGGCACCCCACUAGUCACUCUUCUCCAGGAUGAAGAGGAACCAUUGAUGAGCACCCUUUGGGUUCGGUCAGUCAGCCAGUUACAAAUCCACUGAGUGGUAGCAUAGUCAAGACCGCAUUUUACCAGCUUCUUUACAAGAAUAUCAUGGGGCACCUUGAUUGCUGAAAUCAAGGUAGGCUACAUGAAGGAGGAUUUGGAUUUAUUGGUGCAUGGAAAGAAUCCUGCGCUUGCCCUGAAUAGGGGGCAUGUGGUGGUAGCUGGGGACUACCUCUCGAGAGAAGUAGAGACAGCGGUGUGUUGUUCUGACAUGUUUUCACUGAAGACAUGUCAUUUCCCUGAUGCAUGUGUCCAGGAUAUGAUGGGAAAUGUGGCCAGGCUCAUAAGGCCUAGUGACUGUUAUCCCUUCCUGCUAAUCAGUGCAGGAAUAAACGACACGCCCAGACACAGCUCUGAGUGUAUUGCAAGUGACUAUGAAGCUCUGCAUAAGAAGCUGAAGGGCCAUGGGGCACAGGUAAUUUUUUCAUCACUUUUUCCUACUGAAGGCUGUGACCUAGGAAUGGAGAGGCGAAUACUGGAAGUGAAUGACUAACUAUGCAGAGGACGUCAUCAGGAAAGGUUUGGAUUAUUGGAUCAUGAUCUGUUCUGCAGUGAUGAAGAACUUCUGGUGAAAGAUAGGUUGCUCCUCACAAGGAUUGGGGAGAAUGUGUUUGGCAAGAGCCUUGCAAACUUGAUCAGGAGGACUUCAAGCUAAGUUCUGUGAUGGAAGAUGAUAAAAUCCUUGAAGACAGCAUGGUGCCAUGUAAUGUGGACAUGAGCAUAGAAAAACCAAUAUAGUGUCAUGUGUAGCUGGGUGAUAUAUCGAUAAAUUGUCCCAAACUACUUUGAAGUCCAUGUCAUGAUACCGGUUUCAUAAUUUUUGACCUGGCAAUAUAUCAUGAAUGAUGGUUUGUGCAUGUGCGCUAUGCCAAAAUUAUGAUGCAGGGGAAAAUGUGAAGUCAGCCAAUGCCUCUACAUAGCUCUGUCCUUAUUUCAAACAUUGUGAUAUAUCAGUAUAUCACAAUGUUUAGCUGGUGAUAGACGGAAAAGGGAUCUAAUAUUAUCUUGGCAGAAGGAAGACCAGACAAUAACCUAAAAAAUGAGUCAGCAGUGAAAUGCAACAGCCAAAAGUAUAUAAUACAACUGUAGCUUAUGUGAACAGAAGUAUAUUGUCCACAUCACAAGAAAUCAUGGUACCAUUGUAUUCUGCUUUGGUCAGACCUCACCCUGAUCAUCUAGUUCUGGGCACUACCAUCUAAGAAGGAUGUGAAUAAACUGGAACAUGUUCAGAGGAUGUUGACAAAGUCAAUGGGCCGGAGAUCAAGUCCUAUGAAGAAAGGUUGAAAGAAUCGAAUAUGGUUAGUUGGAAAAGAAGCAAUUAAGAGGUUAUAAGAAAGUCAUCUUCACAUACUUGAAGUGCUGUCAUGUAGCUGGUGGACCAAAUUUAUUUCCCCUUUUUCAAAACCCACACCAAUGUGUUCCAAUUACAAGAAUUGGAGAAGAACUUGCUGACAGUUUGAGUUGUUUGACAGUGGAACAGGCUGCCUUUGAAAGUGGCGGACAGUCCUUUUUUUGCAGAGGUUUUUAAGCAGAGGCUAGAUACCUACCUAUCAGGAAUGGUGAAUGUUUGUUGAAUUGGCAGGGAGGUCGACCAGGUUCCUUUGAGAUCCUUUCCAAUUCUAUGAUUCUACAUGGAAAGGUUGAGAGCUACUGGAAUGCGUGAAGAAUGGAUGGGAAGCUCUGCAUUUGGACCUCUUAGCCCUCCUGGUCCUUUUCAGCCCCUGAUCUGUAGUGAAAAAUACACAACCCACCAGCACUACUUCCUCCCCCAGAAGAAAAAAGCCUUUGCAAAGGGGUUAUCUCUUAUGACAUGCUUUAAGAGGUCAAGAAAGAACCACUAUUAGCGUGAUCUGCUCCCCUUUGCAAAGCUGAAAUGUUUUCUUUACAUAACCUUUUCAUUUAGCAGGAGAGCUGGACCUAGAAUAAAACAAGAAGGAUAGGGGGAAUAUUUCAUUUUAGCACCUUUCAACAUCUGUGCACCAUUGCCCACUGCUAAAAAUUGCCCAUUGUUCGGGACAGAGGGCAGAGGUGCUUUUCCCCCUCCCGCUGACUGAGCACAUACAGUCAAAGUCUUUUCUAUCUCCCUUAUGCCUGAUGUCAACAUUAGAUGCCAUCUUUAGUAACAGCUGUGGCAGGCGCCAAGUGACAGCAAAAGGCAAACAAUGGAAGACAGAGCCAAAAAGUUGAAGUCCCUGCUUCCCUCCACAGGGCAGCCAUGGUAUGUAGAGACUGGCAGUCUGGGCAUAGGACACAGCUGUUAAAAGCAUUUUAGUUUUCUAACCUGAAUCUCUGGGAAACUUGAUGAUUGUAAGUGACUCAGAUAAGCAUGUUUCUUCCCCCACCCCCAACUUCCCUUGAAACACAGCCAAAGUGAAGUUUGCAGAGUUUUGACUUCCUAACACUGAAUAAGGACAGCUGGAUUCAGCACAUGGUAUGCCAAGGGUUUCUAAAAGGAACCUCAUAUAUGUUGAACAGUUUACAGUACAUUGUCCAAAUGAAAAUGUGAAGCAUUGAAUUAAAUGGUCAAAUAAGUCGAAUAUUUUCAGGAAUGCAUUGCACGUAGCUGCAAAUUACAUAUGAUGUAAAAAGUGUUGUAGUCAAGAAAUAUUUUUUUUUUUUAAAAAAACAGCAGUAAGGGAGGGCAAUCAAUAUCAGGGCUCUUGCACACAGAGAGGGAAGUUAACUCUUCCCUCUGCAUUGUGGUCUGCCUUCCAACCAAAGCUGAACGUAAGUAAAACCCUGCUAGAUCAGACCUAUUGAGUCUAGUAUACAAUUAACCAGAUACCUAUUGGGAAAACCCACAGGCAGGACAUGGGUGCAAGAGUUCUCUGCCAUUGUUGUUUUCCCACAACUAAUAUUCAGAGCUGUGCAGCCUCUGGUCCUGGUAUAGGUAAAAAGGUAAAGGACCCCUGGACAGUUAAUUCCAGUCAAAGGUGACUGUGGAGUUGCGACCCCCAUCUCGCUUUCAGGCCAAGGGAACCGGCAUUUGUCCACAGACAGCUUUCUGGGUCAUGUGGCCAGCAUGACUAAACCACUUCUGGCGCAACAGAACACCAUGAUGGAAACCAGAGCGCAUGGAAAUACCCUUUACCUUCCCGCCACAGCAGUACCUAUUUAUCUACUUGCACUGGUGUGCUUUUGAACUGCUAGGUUGCCAGGAGCUGGGACAGAGCAACGGGAGCUCACCCCGUUGCGGGGAUACGAACUGCCAACCUUCUGAUCAGCAAGCCCAAGAGGCUCAGUGGUUUAGACCACAGCACCACCCGCCUCCAUACUGAUAACCUGAAAUGGCACUCUUUCAGUUUCCUUCCAGCAGUUAUUUGCACUGUGCCAUUUCUGAGAAUCCCCCCUGCACAUCCAGAAACUUGAUGCACUGCAUAUGGAAAUGUGUGUGUGGGGGGGGGGGGGUGUUUCAGAAGCCCUUCUACUUGUUGAGAUCUGGACCUGUAUCUCUGAAUUUUUUUCUUAUGGGUGUGUUAUCUUUACAGCCUAUUCUCAGUGAUCUGAUUCCUAGAUACCAAGAUCUUAGUUUUUAAGUUGGAAUAUAAUAAUAUAAUUUUACAUUUGCAUGAUCCUUUUCCUAAUGAGGGAGCACAAUCCUUUGAAAACUGCAGGACAGGCGUUAUCGUAUUUUUCUCCUUAAUAAAAAAGAAUUCUCUAGAUGGGGUGGGUGACUAAGCAAGCACAUGGUUCAAGAUCCUCAUUUGAUUAUUUUUACUUCAACAUUGUCAUUGGUGGCAACUUUUGCACUGUCAUUUUCUAGGGCAAAAGUAGUGUUUUUAUUUCCAAAGUAUGUUUAUGUAUCAAGGGAAAAGAUUUAAACUCCAUGUUAUUCCUGUAGCUGCUAUUAUUUCAGUGAAUUCACAAUGCAAAGCUGCACAUACUUUUUAAAAAAUCAGGGUUGGCAAACAUUAUUAUUCUUAUUAGCUUAAAAUAUGAGGAAUGUAGAAGCAGUUGUAUAGAAUGGUGGCGUGGGGGGGGGCAGGGGCGAAAGAGAAAUGUCAGUGGCACAUCUCGCAAAUGAAGUGAUACACCUGCCCAUCUAAAGGUGCUCUACAUAGGACCAUUAAGUCCAGGUUCUAAAAGCUGCACCACUGGAACUAGGGAAGGAGAAGAAUGGAAACAGUUGAAUGUUUUUAUUAUAAAGAUAUCAGCAAUGGAAAUGUAUAUUUGAAUGUGAAUGUCAUUUUGGAAAUGGUAAUACAGUCAUGCCUUGGUUCUCAAACAGAAUGUGUUCCAGGAGUCCGUUCGACUCCUGGAACCGUUUGGAAACCAAGGCACAGCUUCCGAUUGGCUGCAGGAGUGUCCUGCAGCCAGUCGGAAGCCACAGAAGCUGCGCCAGAUGUUCAGCUUCUGAAACUCAUUUGAAAACCGGAACACUCACUUCCAGGUUUCGAUCGUUCAGGAGCUGAUUUGUUCGGGAGCCAAGGCGUUUGAGAUCCAAGGUACAACUGUAAUUAAAAUUAUACAGUAAAUAAAAUUAUAAAUAAAUAAAAGCGGCACCACUGCCAGCUUUGGAUUUGGCAUGACUAACGAUGUAUACUUACUUGACAUAUCCAGGAAAACGCUAUCAAAACAAGGAAGUAGAAAAGCUAGGAGGCAAGAUGGAAUGGGUCUGCAAAACUGAGGCAGAAUUCACUAUAAGAUAUCCAUGGCUGGGGGUGGCGAGAAGGGAAAACAACCCGGAGUGUAAGCGACAGUGCUCCCAGCAGGCAGGCUGCUGAACUUCUGCACCUUGCCUCCUCUAUGACCCUCACUUCACCAGUCCUCCUCAUUCCAAUGUAGCCUCACAUUCACUGCCUGGUCACCUCCUAUUGAACCAAGGUGAGAAAAUAAGAUGGCGUUAGCUCUAUUAACACAUUUGCUCAAGUGAAAUGGAGAGACGGGGAGUCAAGGCCUUGUCAUGUUUUGCAUCAAACUGAUGCAACAGGGUCUGCUGGGGCCUUGGGCUUUUGGAGCGGAACCUGGCCGUGGGCAAUUAGAACCAUCAAGCCACAAAGUCAGCAGCCGCUCUCGACUCAGUGGGAGAAGUUUGGGCUUGUCGGCUAGAAUUCCAACUUUAUUCUCUCUUUUGAGGGAGCCCUGCAAUCGAUAUGGAUCAUUGUAUAGCUUUCGCGGCAAGCGACAAAGAAAAUAACCUGUAGUGACCUCAUCCUGCAUGUGUGGUCAACAUAGAUUUCGUAUCAAAUCUGGCAACUGGAAAUGAAAACCUAAGGCUUUUAUGGUCCUUCUUACAACUGUCCUUUUCCGAUAUUUAACCAAAAGAAUCUUCCUGACAUCUUUAAAACCUGAUGGCCAGGAAAUAAACACCAUCCUGGCUGCAUAAUGUGUUUGAAGCCCUGACUCAAUGAAAGUUUCAUCCCAUUUAGGAAACUAUGCUUUUAAAUUACAAACUGCAUUUUAAACAUAUUUACAGUAUGAGAAGGAGGCAUACAUUGGGAAUCCAACGUGGGGUAGUGGAUCUGUUGUUUGAUUCCUCUUGAGAACAACGGAAGAUGCCUUAUAUGAACUCAGACUAUUUGUCUAUCUAGCUUAAUAUUGUCUCCACAAAUUGGCAGUAGCUCUAAGUUUUCAGACAGAGGUCUUUCCCAGCCCUACGUAGUGAUGCCAAGAACUGAACCUGGGACAAUCUGCUUGCAGUUUGGUGCUCCACCACUGAGCUAAAGUCCAUUUCCUCUUGUGUUUCUACAUCUUCCUCCUGGAUGUUGAUGUUCUUUAGAACAACACUAGCAGGCUGGCUGACAAGAACUCUGCACUUCAUCCUGAUAGGUUUUGUACCAAUUUAUUAUUCCAGUGCCUCAAAUUAUGGACACCCACCUUUGGAUCUGGCUAUUGACUUUGAUGUGUGAAAAUGUACCACAAAAGGUUAUGCAUUUGGUUAUUUUUUUAAUUACGACAUUUAUACCUCACCAUUUGUUUGUUUGUUUGUUUAACAUUUAUACAGUGGUACCUCGGGUUACAUACGCCUCAGGUUACAGACACUUCAGGUUACAGACUCUGCUAACCCAGAAAUAGUACCUUGGGUUAAGAACUUUGCUUCAGGAUGAGAACAGAAAUCAUGCUCCAGCAGCGUGGCGGCAAUGGGAGGCCCCAUUAGCUAAAGUGGUUCUUCAGGUUAAGAACAGUUUCAGGUUAAGAACAGACCUCUGGAACGAAUUAAGUACUUAACCCGCAGUACCACUGUAUACUGCUUGAGUGUAAACAAAACAAAAAACACCUCUAAGUGGUUUACAAAAAUAAAACAUUAAAAUUAUCAAUGAAAGCAGUUUUAAAAGUUAUCUAAAGACAUUACUAAAAAGUUUAUUAAAAUCAACAUCAGCCAAAAAGAGAUGAAACACUUCUAUAUGUCAGGAUAGAUUUGCCUAAACAGAAAUAUUUAAGCAGAAAAGAAAAAGGCUCUCAGAGCAGCCUUACAAAAAUCAGUUCUAAGAAAUGGUCUCUGCCCUCAGGCUCACAAUGUAAAAAUACAUGGCACCCAAGGAAAAAAGAGUGAGAGGGAGAAAGGGAAGAACAAGCUCAAGGACAAAUUCUUCUAGUUGCAGUUUUUAUAACAGAGUUAUGUAAGUUUAGGCUGAGGAGAUUUCAAACUGAGGAGUACUCUGCCAGUGCCAAAACAAGUAUUACUAUUAGUUCAUAGCACCAGAAGUCCAGCACUGGCUAAAUGUGUUAAGUACACAUUAUUGGUGCAGACAAGAUCCAAAUUUAGCAAAACACUGGAAUAAUUUGUCAUGGGUAUAAACAGAAAAAAACAUGAGGAGAUGAGGGGGAAGGGUGAUAAAAUAAUAGCACAGUUACCUAGUAAGACUAGAAAUUAUCUCUCACGUGACAUGCACAGGAGCCAACCGUUUUAUUCGGGGAGCCCAAUAAAAUAUUUGAGGGGUCUGCCCCCCCAGAGUCAAUGGGCAUUGCCAUUCAAAUUGUGUCUGUGCUGCAUCUUGUGUUCAGUUAUGUGGGGUGGGGAUCCCCCCCCUGUUUUAUUCAGGUUGGCACCCUUGGUGCAAUGUAUGUUCAUUUACAUAGUAACCUUGUAUUUCUAUGGCCUGCUAGUCACCUUGUGUCCUGUGUUUGCUGUAUGGCUACUUAUCAAAUCAGAUGAAGGUCAACAAAAAGUUGAGCUUAUAGAGGAAUCCGUUUCAGUCGCAUGGAAAUCGUCGGGCACAUCUUGCUGCUUCUAUUUUAUAAGCUACCAUGUUGAUAGUUUAAAGACGAACAUAAAACAAGCCCUGCUAGAUUAGACCACUUUCCUUUUCUCGCAGUGGGCGACUAAGUGCCUAUGGGAAGCCCAUAAGCAAGACCCAAGUGCAACACCAAGUGAUUUCCAGCAACUAGUUUUCAGAGGCAUACUUCUUCCAAUGCUGGUGGUAGUUCAUAGCCAACAACAUGAGUAGCAGCCAUUCAUAACAUCCUCCUCCAUGGAUUUGCCUUACCCUCUUUCAUAGCCAUCCAAGUUCAUACAUUCAUUCCUUUUAUUUGUAUGCUACUUUUUUUACGCAUGCAUACAUGCGCAUGCACGCACACACACACACCAUGCUCACAGCUGGUGGCCAUUACUGUGGGGGCAAGUUCCAAGAUUUAACCAUGCUAUGUGAAAUUUGAUGUUAGCAUAGCCUUUCUCCGAAAGACUGUAUUGUGUUGAAUUCUGUCAUUUAUACACUUCCCUGUGGCAUCCAAUUUGCUGACUAAAGUACAUAGUAUUGCAUUGCCCGUAUUUUAGAUGGCUCAGUGUACCAGCCACUUAUUUUCUCUGCUGAAGUCGUACUGUGUUUUAAUAACUUCUGAGUUUCCUGAAUCUUUAUUUGUAAGGCUUCCUGAAUUUUUACCUGACUAUUUAGUAAUAUAAAUUUUACAAGCAUGGCUAGGACUUAUCAACAGGCAAUGGGUUCUACUUCCGCCUACUGGUGAAUUGGCAGCCUGCUGUAAUUAUUGCAACUCAACUCCUUCCUUAAGCCUGCACGUCCUUUAUUUUGCUUCUUCUUCAAAUCUCAGAGGAUUCUUGCGUUUCAGAUUCUCUCAAGUUUUAUUUGGAACAUGCAUUUGCUUUUGGUGGCUUCUUGUAAGUCUGGCUCUACCCAAAUGGCUCAUUGACCAGUAUGCAGUGAUGGAGAAAUAAUAGAUUUCUCCUUUGCUCUCUCUCUUUCGUUUCAACCAGCUCAACCCAUUUAAGAAUCUAUACUGUAUCUUCAGCCAAUAAAAAAACGCCAAAUCUGUCAGGUGCCUUUGCUUUAAUCCCACUCGUGUGAAAAAUAAGAUUUAUCAGUUAUUAAGCUGUUUAUUUCUUUUAAGGUAUCUAGCUUUGUGUCACUGUUGGUUUCACUAUUUGCAAACUGGCUUUGUUAUUUUAUUGAUAGCUCUUGAGUGAAGAACUCUCUGUUAAUAUAUGCAAACUCACAGCUCUCAACAAGCUUUACAGCUCUGUUAAUGAGGGGAUUAACAAGAGCAUGGCAAUGUAUUUAACCUGCGGCACUAGCUCUGUUUCAAUAAGGCUUCAACAGCCUAUUAAAUGGAGUGGGGGCUCAAUUAACCCAGACAAAGGCCACUCUACAGAACAUGGCAGGGAGGACCACAGUUAGCAUCUGCCUAAGCAGCUUGUUCUGAGCUGGAAAUAAAGAGGGUGACAUGUUCCCGCCCCGAGCUAUGAUAUAACUGAAAUGGUGAUUCUAGUUCAUCUGGGCUGACUGAAUAGGUGACAGCAUCAAAACCCACCACUAUCUCGCCAUAUGACAGUCUGUAAAAUCCGAGUGCACUCAACGGUCACCCCAGAGCCUCCUGCACUUCGGCAUUCAAGUAUUGUAACCGUGCCGGAGAGGGUUCGGUGCAGAAAGGUGGUGACGCCCGGGCAGUCUUGGGGCACUCGGUAUGAAAAGGCCUUUCAGGAUAUGUGUGAGGUUUAAACAAUUUCCUGUUGGAUAUCUCCUGGGCAUAAAGAUGUUGCUGGCCCUCCAUCAACAUGUUGCUAAAGCUAAUGUCGCACUGUGGCAUUGUAUGGUGUUUACUGAAAGCUGUCAUCCAAAAUGAAUGGGGAAGGAGUCAACAAAAGAGGCAACUGGCUGGUGCCGUCUUCGGGAAAGUGUGUGUAUAGUUUUAGGCAUGUUGAAGGCUGGGCUGGGCUUUGAUUUGUUUCUCUUGCUUGCAUUUUUAAGACACAAGGGGGAAGCAGGAACAGGGGAAGGAAAUGAUCUGUCCAUGAAGCCUCAUAGAGCAGUUAUGGAAACUUUUGUAUAAGGAUUCACCAGUCUACAGUUACCUUUAGUCUAUGGAGGGCAAGGCUACUAGCCGCAAUGACUAUGUUCUACUUCCGCUCAGCAUAAUGCCUCUGCAUACCAGUUGAUGGAGAUAGCAGGUGGGCAGAGAGUUGUUGUGCUGUUGUCCUGGUUGCAGGCUUCCCACAGACUAGCCACUGUGAGAAGAGGAUAUGACUAGAAGGGCCAUUGGCUGGAUGUAGCAGGCUGUCAGGCGUGGAGUAUCCUCUCCUCCCUUGGUAGCCUCAGAGUCAAGAAGAACAAACAGUUCAUAUUUUAUGGCUUUUUAUUCAGUCAUCUGGUUGCAAGACGAAAGAUCCAUGUCUCCACCCAUAGGAGACGUUGGCUACUCUGAGUCCCUCCUCUUCUGUCUCCCACAACAUCCUGGAAACUACAGGAAGUCUCAGGAGUCACACCCCUCCGCAUUCUCUGUUCAUGAAUGCGGAGGGACCUGCGAGUCUUUGGACUAGGAGGGUCUCCCACACUCUCCAGGGAGGUCUCCGCCGUCUGCUCUCUAACUUCCCCCUCCUCAUCCUCCACUGUCUCAUAACUCGGGAUUUCUUCAUUCAUCCCUGUCUCCCUCUCCCCCUGAAACUGCUGGAGACAGGGAGGGCAAAACUUCCCACUCUUCCUCCUCUUCUGAGAGGAGCCCAUCAGACCGAGGGCUCAUUUCCCAUUCCUCCAGUCCCUGACACAGGCUCAUCUUCUGUUCUUGUCUUCCUGGCAUCUUCUUCGCCGGUGUCUAUUGUACAGAUUGACUUUGUAUGACUGAUCAUCUUUGAAAUGUGGAUUUGUUUCUCUAUGAAACAAAUAGGCCAUCUUAAUUUGUGAUCUAUAGAACACCCUCUGCCCUGUUGAGGUUGCUACCAACCCUAUUUGGUUUCAGACUGUAUAAUACUUCCUCAUUCCUCCUCCUCCUCCUCCUCCUUAUUAUUUAUUGAAUUUAUAUACCGCCCUAUACCCGUAGGUCUCAGGGCAGUUCACAGGGUGGUUUAUUUCUGAAUCCCUUGUGCUAGGCUUGUUAAGGACAGUCCUUGCAAUGAUACACCACACUUUUAUUUUAUAAAGAACAAGUGAAGAAUGAAGAGGUAUAUUUUAGACUAAUAGUUUAAUUUUGAUCUUUUUUACAUGAGCUUUUGUAAGUGAAACCUGUUUCACCAGACAGGUCAUACAGAGAUAGAAUCAUAUUUAAAAAAACUCAAAAGAAAAUACUUUUCUUAAAAUCACUGAAAAAGACCGUGGCAACAUGCUUUUUUUUUAAAAAAAAAAAAUCCCAAUAUGCUCCAUUGCCACAUAAAGCUUGGUGGAAAAGAAAGGGUUUUGCUAAUGGUUGAAAGAUUCAGAUUUUUAUUUUCUUCCGAAGGAGAUAAAUGAAAAAAAUAUCAAAUGUGUUCUCCCGACCAGUAAGUAAGUAAGUAAAUAAAUAAAUAAAUAAAUAAAUAAAUAAAUAAAUGGAAAUGAGUAACAAUGUCUUAAAUAGGGAUAAAGAAGUUUAAUUCAGUUAACAUUUGAGCCUACCAAAUUCAGAAUAAGUGAACCAAAAUAUAGCCUUCCUUCAAAAUUCACACUUCUUCAAAUUUUGGAGUGCAGUUUUCCAGUCAAGUGUAUGUGUAUGAAGAUAUAUAUCCUAGGGUAAAGUGUGAAUAUAAAUAUAUAUGUUAGCAAAAAAAUAACAAAAAAAAUGCAUUACAGUAGGGUGCGUUGCUUGGCAAAAAUGUUUAUGAGGCAAAAUGGCACCCCAAAGUGUGUUUAUUUGCGGUAAUUUGCACUAAAAUACUGCUGAAUUUUCAUCAGGACUUCUUUUAAAAUAAAUAAAGAAAUGCAAACUUAUAUGGAAAUAUAGAGAACUGAAUUAAAAUUGGAAAAAUGAGAAAUUGAGAGAAACUGAAAUGGACAGAUUUAGCCAUCCCUGGCAUUAAGUCACAGCUCUGUAGGAGAUGGUAGAACUGACCGUAGCUCACUGUGACUUGUUUGCAAAGCAUUUUGAAGAUAAAAUUGCAUGCAUCCACUGGGAUCUUGGCUCCUGCUGUUACAGCAGGUGAAGCUCAAUGGGUGUCCAGAACACUGUCUAGUCCUGUUGUGUUGGAUGAGUUUCAGUUGGUAAGGCUCAAGUAUGUGGGCAAGGUGCUUGAACUGGUCAGGAUGACCACUUGAACUCUGGACACUUGGCCCAUUUGGCUGAAAAAAACUAUCAGGAAGGGGACAGCAGGCUGGGCCAGAGAGGUGAAUAAUGCCUCCCUGCUAGAGGGGGUGGGCCCUGCCUGCUUGAAGGGGGCAGUGCUAAAACCACUCCUUAAGAAACCCUCCCUGCUCUUAGAAAAUCUAAGUACGGUAGCUACUGGCCAGUGACUAAUCUCCCCUUCCCCUUAUUAAGUGGGUUGUCGCAGACCAGAUCCAGGUGCUCUGGGAGGAAACUGAUUUUCUAGAUCCAUUUCAAUCAGGGUCUGGGCCUGGUUUUGGCACAGAAACUGUCUUGGUUGCCAUGUACGACGACCUCUGUUGGUUACUGUUAGAUUUUUUAAAAAACUUGUUUCUUCGUUGUUGUUAUAAGUAUGGCUUUUAAAUGCUGCUUUUCCAUAUAAUUUAUUGCUGCUGCUUUUUGUAUUCAAUGGUUGUUGUUUUUUGGUAUUGUUGCACUUUUGUAAGCCACGCUGAAAAGUCCUCAGGAGAGCUGGGAAAUAAGUAAUACAUAACGGCAAUCAAAUCGUCCUUCAAACGAAAUCCUUUUUCUUCCAUUGCUGUUAUUUCCUUUGAAAAGGAGGCUCUCAGUUUGACUAGUGGAUGUCACAUGCGGUUUCCUCACUGCGAGAAGUGAGGUUACAGGGAACCAGGCAUAGGGCCUUCUCGGUAGUGGAACGCCCUCCUAUCAGAUGUCAAGGAAAUAAACACUAUCAGGAUUUUUUUUAAUGUCUAAUGUUUUAUAAUUUUUUAUGUGUUGUAAGCAGUCCAGUUGGGCAGGGUAUAAAUAAUAACAUGAUUAUUAUUAUUAUUAUUAUUAUUUAUUCUAGUAUGCAAGUCUGUGGAUGUUUACUUGAAAGUAAGUACCUCUGGUUUUGGGGGGCUUACUCACACAUAUGUAUAUGAUUGCAGAAUAAGAGAGAAGAAGUAACAAAAGAGUAAUAUUAUUAAACUUACUAAUCUAAACCAUUUAGGUAUUGUUAUAAUUAUAAACUUAACAUUGCAUGUGCAGAAAUGAGACCAAGUGGUCUGAUAGACACGUUCAUAAAUAGUAAGUAGCACUCUUCUAUAACUGUGAAGAUCAGGUCUCAUGCAGUUACAUUAGAGAUAAGAAGCCCGACCUUCUGCACCCCAGUUUUGCAACACUGGUUGGUUUCUCUUAGAGUCAGGAUUUCACCAAUCUUCUGUAAAUACAGAACUAAUGCUGCUGCUCUGCUGGCAGGAUAGGUGUGGGUAAAAUAGUUAUGACAAGGAGUUUUACCAUCACUUGGAAAUUGUAGUAUAUUUGUGAACACAUUAUAAAUUCAUAGGAAGUUGAGAUUGGAAAAGCCGAGGUCACACAUCAGGUUAACUGCUGAAGGAAAACUACAAACAGUAUCAGGUGUAAAAUCCAAAACAAGUGUCAGAGAACAUCUGUGUAGAGAAAGAAGCAAGAAAGGGCACUUCGGUGAGUGGAAAACUGAGAAUGUGGAAGUGUGACAAAGGAAUAAAUGUACUAGAGACUCCAAAGGUAGCUAAAUGGCUAAAGUGAUACAUAAAGGUGCUAGCUCAGCACCUCUGUCUAAACAUGCACUUGCCUGGAAAUGGAUCCCAUUGAUUUCACUUCAGCCCUGGAGAGUUUCUAGGCAGGAGCCUCCUACUGGUCUCCAGACACUACUUCCCCACAUGCAGAAUUGCAGCACCCCUUCCACAUUGCAGCAGGCAAUAUCGACCUUUUCUCAGCCCUGCCCCUUCCCCCGGCUGCUUGCAUCUUACACUUAUCUCCUGCACAUCAGUGGGUGAAGGAUUAUGGGAUGCAGCCAGGCUUCAUCUUGACCAUCCCUGCCCCUCUUUCUAUCCAUUGCAAAGUCCUUCCUUUCUGGUUAUGUACAGGUGCAGAUAAUACCUGUGCGUACCUGUACACAUUUUUCUUUUGGUUUUUUAUGUGAAGAAUUGCACAUUGGCAGUCUGUUUUCAUGCAUGACUGCAUAAUUUCCCUAAAACCAUUCCUUGCCCAACAUGGAUCUCUAGCUACUCAGUCUCUGCUUUCAGGAAUAACUCCUUAAAGAACACAGCAGUUUCAUUCACAGAGGCAGGACUUGAUGUAGAAAAAGGUUGUGACUGUUCUUAUAAGCUCUUAGAAGACAUCAGAUGACUUUGACUCUGUACUGGGGCAACAUUUUUCUAUUCCUUUCAACUCCAGCCAGUUCAUUGGGAGCUAUCUAGGGGUUCUGAUCCUGUUUGUCUUAACCUGAAUGCCCUUUGCUGCAGUUCCCUGAAAGAGAUCAUUAUCUGAUGUGACCUUACCUGAUGUAACUCCACUUGCUGUGACUUUGCCCACUGUAACUGCCUAAUGAACUUUCCCUGAAGUAAGUCUGGCCCCAUGCUGCAUGGAACUUGGGUCCAUGAUAAAGAAACAACAUAUGGGAAACCAUCUUUACUGAGAAAUAUGUGGCAAGGGUGGCACUGUGGUCUAAACCACUGAGCCUCUUGGGCUUGCCGAUCAGAAGGUCAGCACAGUGGCAUAGCGUGGGUUGUCAGCACCCGGGGCAAGGCAAGUAAUUUGCGCCCCCUAACCCGUGGAUUUGCGCACCCUAACCCUAACCGCCAGAUGUUGCACCCGGUGCGGCUGGCCCCCCCUGCAUCCCCCCACGCUACGCCACUGGGUCAGCAGUUCAAAUCCCUGUGAUGGGGUGAGCUCCCGUUGCUCUGUCCCAGCUCCUGCCAACCUAGCAAUUCAAAAGCAUGCCAGUGCAAGUAGAUAAAUAGGUAUCACUGCAAUGGAAAGGUAAACGGCGUUUCCAUGCACUCUGGUUUCCAUCAUGGUGUUCCAUUGCACCAGAAGUGGUUUAGUCAUGCUGGCCACAUGACCCAGAAAGCUGUCUGUGGACAAACACCGGCUCCCUUGGCCUGAUGAGCGCCACAACCCCUUAGUCACCUUUGGCUGGACUUAAUUGUCCAGGGGUCCUUUACCCUUUACCUUUACCUAUUAGUUGUACCCAUUAUGGAAUGCUUCCAUUAAGCUACCUUCCAGUUUGGAGUCAGGGAAUCUACAGCAUAAGAAAUAGUCCUGAGGGUGUGCUUCUUCAUUAAGCUCUGUUUGUGCAUGUCCACCAGACAAUUACUUGGGUGACAAAUGAAAUAGAAGUUCUACUUUUUAUUUUUAUUUUUUGUUAACAGUGCUUUCAAUAUUCUACUGUUUUGCUAUCUUAUUGUGACUUACAAUAGAAAGUAACUUGGUAUGGAAAUCGGCACUACUUUUGAAUAAUAAUAAUAAUAAUAAUAAUAAUAAUAAUAAUAAUUUAUCAUUUAUACCCCGCCCAUCUGGCUGGGUUUCCCCAGCCACUCUGGGCGGCUUCCAAAAGAAUAUUAAAAUACUGUGAUACAUCAAACAUUAAAAGCUUCCCUAAACAGGGCUGCCUUCAGAUGUCUUCUAAAAGUCUGGUAGUUGUUGUUCUCUUUGACAUCUGGUGGGAGGGCGUUCCACAGGGAGGGCGCCACUACCGAGAAGGCCCUCUGCCUGGUUCCCUGUAACUUGGCUUCUCACAGUGAGGGAACCGCCAGAAGGCCCUCGGUGCUGGACCUCAGUGUCCGGGUAGAACGAUGGGGGUGGAGACGCUCCUUCAGGUAUACUGGACCGAGGCCGUUUAGGGCUUUAAAGGUCAGCACCAACACUUUGAAUUGUGCUCGGAAACGUACUGGGAGCCAAUGUAGGUCUUUCAAGACCGGUGUUAUAUGGUCUCGGUGGCCGCUCCCAGUCACCAGUCUGGCUGCUGCGUUCUGGAUUAGUUGUAGUUCAAAGGUAGCCUUCAAAGGUAGCCCCACGUAGAGCACAUUGCAGUAGUCCAAGCGGGAGAUAACCAGAGCAUGCACCACUCUGGCGAGGCAGUCCUCAGGCAGAUAGGGUCUCAGCCUGCGUACCAGUUGGAGCCGGUACACAGCUGCCCUGGACAUGGAUUUAACCUGUACCUCCAUGGACAGCUGUGAGUCCAAAAUGACUCCCAGGCUGCACACCUGGUCCUUCAGGGGCACAGUUACCCCAUUCAGGACCAGGGAAUCCUCCACACCUGCCCGCCUCCUGUCCCCCAGAAACAGUACUUCUGUCUUGUCAGGAUUCAAUCUCAAUCUGUUUGCCGCCAUCCAUCCUCCAACCGCCUCCAGACACUCACACAGGACCGUCACUGCCUUCACUGGUUCUGAUUUGAAAGAGAGGUAGAGCUGGGUAUCAUCCGCAUAUUGAUGAACAUCCAGCCCAAACCGCCUGAUGAUCUCUCCCAGCGGCUGCAUGUCGAUGUUGAAAAGCAUGGGGGAGGGGGCUCAUCACUCAUUCCCCCCCCCCCACUUUCUGAACACGGCCCAGGAGGAAGGAGCGGAACCACUGUAUGACAGUGCCCCCAGCUCCCAGACCCUCAAGACGGUCCAGAAGGAUGUUAUGGUCGAUGGUAUCGAACGCCGCUGAGAGAUCCAGCAGAACUAGGAAACAGCUCUCACCUUUGUCCCUAGCCCGCCGGAGACCAUCAACCAGUGCGACCAAGGCAGUUUCAGUCCCGUGAUGCGGCCUGAAUCCUUGUCCAUGCCAGCUGUUUGGCACUUUACCUAUUCCUAAGAUGGUAGCCACCAUUUUACCAGUGGACACUUUGGGGCUGAGUAGUAAGGCAAAACAUUUUAGCGCUUGUGCAAUUUCAGUAUAUCACUUGUGGGCGCUUAUUACUAUUCCAUUCCUGCUUCAAGGGACAACUGAGCUCACUGGCUGAUUUAGUGACAAAGAGGAAGGGUGGAGCAGAAGAAACCAUGUUGCAUAAAUUCUACCAGUGAUACUGGCAGGUGCUGCCUCUCUGAUGGUUUGUGGGAGCCACCUUGAUCAGUCUUUCAACCACUGCAAGACCAAGGGCUGUAUUGGCUGGGGCUGAUGGGAGCUGGAGAUCAACAGUAUCUGGAGGGCCACAGGUUCCCUGGGUUAAAGGACCUAAGUAAACACUAUAUCUGCUUCACAAAGAUCAAUCUUUGUUACAUGAGCCUCCCCCCCCCCCCAUUUAGAUACUUCUCACAUUGGAAUGAUUAGUCCUCCUUAUUUUGGACAACAGCUUACUUAUCAUAGUAGUUGCAAUAACUCCACUGCUGGAGUGGAGAAAUGCAGAUGUUAUGUUACUUUCCUGCUAUCAAGGGAAAACAGACUGACGUGCUAUAAUGUUAAGACAAAAUUGUCAGAGUCCACUGGAAGUAAUGAAGUCUGACAGUUCUUCAGUUAAUACAAGGACUAUUGGGCCUGUAAAUUUCAAUUAGGCCUGACAGCAAUAGGGUUUAAUGUGACAUUUAUGCGAAGUGGUAGGUUGGUAGCUUUCCUUCACACUUACAAAGUCAAGGAUCUCGGGGGGGGGGGGGUUUAAAAAAGAAAGAAAGAAAAUAGGGUUCAUCCACAGUCCUUUUCUGUUUCUUCUUCUAAGGAUCAACAUAAAAUGUUUGGGACAAAGUGUUCACACUUGUAGUGGCUGGACUUAGUGACCAGAAACCAUAUUUAUGUAGCCAAUAGAUGUGGUUUUUUUAAGGCUUUCCAUUGUCCUCUGCUGCCCUUCAUUCACAAAGGUAAUGAACCAGACUACUUGGAGUUGUGACCCCUUUAUGAAAACUCUGUAUCAUUCUUGGAUACACAGAGUGCAAGGAGAAAUAAAGAAAUCCAUGAAUAUACUCCUCCGAUUUCCAGGAUUGUGGUCACACUUUCUGGAGUGUGGUCCAUAGAGUAUACUUCCCCAUGAAAUCCCUUUACCCCAGCGUAGUGCAGGAUGAAUCAAGCAUGCUUAUCUAAAGUGGCCCUGAAGAUGAAAACAGGUAUCGGCUUGAAAUAUGGCUGCUAUUUUAAACAUUUCAUGAUCUAGCAGGAGAAGCUUCUGCUACCCAGGGCUGUAGACUGGGUUUUCAGGCAGCCGUGGUUCAGAGCAUAAGGCAAAUCAGGAAUUUGGGAAGGCAGACAAAGUAUCAGAACCCUGGACAGAGCUCAAUAGAGAGGGUUUCAAGACUGAGGUCCAAAGGCUAUAACAGUGAAUGGGGAAAGAAUGCUUAGAACCUUGCUUUUAAUCCAUCCUCUGAGAACUAUCCCUACCCCAGCCCAGUGGAUUUAGGCAGACAAUAUAACUUAAUUUGUGCUAAAAGUUAUUAAGUUGUUGUUCUGUUUUUGCCCAGGGAGACUGACCUUGCACCCUUCCAGUUUAAGAGCUUGAGGCUGUAACUUUUUUCUUAUCUUUAAAAAUAUAGUAGGAGUAGUAAUAUCAUAUACAAUGAUACAGGUAAUUUACAGUGGUGUAAAUAAUUCAAAGGUAUAUAAAAAUAUCAUAUAAGUAGUACUGGAGAGAUUUAAUAAUAUGUUGAAAAUAAUGCUGAAAGUACCUAAGUAUGAGAAUAAAUGCAUUGCAUAAAUCUAUUAUUCAUCUGUUCCUUUCUUUUAAUUACUACAAUAAUGGUUUACUUGUACUGUACUAUCAAAGAGGAACCGAUUAUUUAUAUGGUAUUAAUUUACAUUUCCACCUACAAUUUUAGGGACCAUUUAAUAUUGUAGUAUAUGUUAAUAAAACAUUACAAUGAAAAAAGUUACUUAAAUAAACUUACUUUUAAUGUAAAAUUAUUAGUAUUAAUUUGUCUAAUCUGAUAUAUACUAAGAAUCACCACUUAGCCCAGGACUAAAUCCCCAGACUGAUUGAUUCUGAUUUUUAAGUUAAUCAACAGACAUUAUUAUUCAGUUAAACAAUGCAUCUACUACAUAUUUUGGUAAGUUGUCUAUUCACUAUGCAUCUGGAGACUUCUUAAGAUAUCAUAACCAAAUUUUGCAUGAUGGUUCCUCAGAUCAAGGAGCAGAUUUUUGUCUAUGCUUAGGUAUAAUUGGAUGCCACUUUGAAUCAAGAUGGCAGACUCAAUCUUUCAAAACUGCACUGAUAUUUUGGUUUCUUAGAAUUCCGGAGCAACACCAGGUUACAAAAUAUAAAACAUAAAAUAUACAAACUUUAGAACAGAUUAAAAUAUCAGGGUGUGGAACAUUGGGACAACAUUCAUGGUGCAAAGGCCUCUUGGAAGACAUAGAGACCACCCACUGAUUCAAGAAGUCUACCAGAUGUCACCUUCUAAUCAUCAAUGCCCAAUCCUGUCCAAAGAGCCCAUGAGGCACGAUGGGACAAGUCAAUAAGCAAAUUGUGCAGUUUGCUCAAAUGAAAGUCUACAAGUGAACUUGAAAAGGAUUCAACAUGCUUUGAUUAAUAGACAGAAUGUGAUGAUAGUAGAUAUUUAUUUGCUUUGGCCACCAACCAUUGCAAUUUGUGUUCAAAGCACAACCAUCCACUGUGUGGUAAACUAGAUUUUUCUCUUGACGCUCUGUGAUCUUAUGAGUAAUCCAGAGAUGCAAACAGUAUUGCUGAGCUGUGGGAAAGGACUAGGCUUCAUUCAAGAUCUGUCCAGUUGUGAUGCCACUCAUGCCUUUGUGAAGCAAGAUAUGAGCUGCGGCUUCUUCGUUUUAAAAGUUUCUUUUCACCUUACUAAAAAUGCCACUCUGUUCUGCGCCCUGAUUGGUGAGUCCAUCUUGUAAACUGCCAACACAUUGACGGAUGCCGAAUGUCCUCUGACACUAUUCAGUGCUGCACAAAAGAGACAUUUCCCAACACCUGUGUUCUCAAUGGUGCCUCCAGCAAAGCCCCGCAGAUGAACCAUUCCAAAUCUAGGCUGACCUUAACAAAGAAGGAGCCGACAUACUUCACUCAUAGCACUCAGCAAGCAAUCAGGCUGCAUCCCAGUGACAUUCAGUGUAGCUGCUGGCAACGGCCUUUAAUUCAUCUGGUAUUUAACCAGGGUGAAAUACCCCUUGGCUAUAUCAUGUUUGUUGGUGUUAGAUGAACCCAGCUCAUCUCCUGCUCACUAAAGUUCAGGAUUUAACACCAGUCUGUGAUUUUUAAGCAUUUCAGUUUCCCUACAAAACACUUGUCUUUUCCUUGUCCUUUCUUCUGUUUUUGUUUUCCUUGCCUUGAUUUAAAACACACACACACACACACACAUACCCACACCCUACCGGCACCUCUGAUAUUACAGCUAUGGCACAUUAAAGAUGUAGCACACCAGUAAUAUAAUUAGGGGCAGCAAUUAUAGGAAACCUCCCACCUUCUCCAGAUUAAAUGUUGUGAAAGACGUAAGUAGGGGGGUUUUCCGGCACAGUAGGGCAAUAAAUGAGUGUGAAUAUGUCUGAUUUUGUAUGAAAUAAAAGCACUAAUAGCUGCAUGCAUUCAGAGUUCGCAAGCAAGGGAGACUUCAGUUAGAGCUGUAAUACUUCCAGAAAUAAGCAUGCUUAGCACAUUUAAGGGUCAUUGAGUUGAGUAGGAAAUGUAAGCACGUGCUUAACAUUCUGCCACUGUAAACAAUAAAAUGGCUUAACCUAUAGUUGGAUUGCUUCCAGUGUCAUAUUCUGGUGAGAGGAUAUUAUUAUGUUCAGUGUUUUGCAGAUGUGUCACGGAUGUCACAACUGUUGGCCAGUUUAAUUACCUGGCAUCUUUGAAUCUGCAAAAGUGUUGUCAUGGUCUUCAUUGCAUUCACAAGAGCUGAGGGAGGCGUGUUGCAACUAUUCCCAUUUUACAGAUGAGACUACCCAAAGCCAUAUAACAAGUCCAGAGUAAACCAGAGUAUGUACAUAGCCUAAAAUGGCACCAGUGAGUUCAGACCCAGCUAUUGCUGGGCUGUCCCAUUCCAUGUCAGAUGACAUUCUGGGCAAACAGCAAAAGCCUUCACCCAGAAAAAGCUGGGGCAGCAGCAGUGCUCAUAGCCCUACUGCUUGCCCAAAUAUGUUGUGUGCUGGUUCUGGGCCUGAGUCCCAUUGCAUUCAUUGUACCUUUCUCUUUAGGUACCCAUGUAGAAAAAUACAGAAGUCCUAUGCAUCCUAUAUAAAUUUCUUCUGGUUUUUUUAAAUGACUUUGGCUGCAAUCCUAUGCACAUUUACUUGGGAGUGAAUAGUGAGGUGAGGUGAGAACAUUCUCCGGAGAAUAUUCUCUGCUAAAAAAUUCUAAUGUAAGAACCAUUUUUACAACCCACAUUUUAAAAAUCUAGUAAAUAAUAAGUGAAGCCGUGAUAUUGCCAGUGUAAAUAAUGAAUGAUGAGACUUGUUACUUAAAGCCUAUUUUUUAAAUAAAUUUCUUUCUUGUGACAGUUUAUCAGUUAUAUUUAAAUAUGUUGUGUGUUGCCUUACUUCUCUAAGCAGAUAGUAAUAUGAAUUUCUGAUGUUAUGUAACUUGCCAUUACUGAUUAUUUGUGUUUUAUUUUCUGGAAAUAAUAGCAUUUUUAAAAACUUUAUAUUGAUUUUAUUUAUCACUGAAAAUACUGUACCAUGUAGAUAUGCUUAUUAAAGAAUGUACUCAUGUAGCGGACCUGAGUUUUUUAAUUAAUUUAAAAUUAAUACUAAUAAUUUUACAUUAAAAGUAAGUUUAUUUAAGUAACUUUUUUCAUUGUAAAGUAACUUUUUUCAUUGUAAUGUUUUAUUAAUAUAUACUACAAUAUUAAAUGGUCCCUAAAAUUGUAGGUGGAAAUGUAAAUUAAUAUAAUACCAUAUAAAUAAUCGGUUCCUCUUUGAUAGGACAAGUAAACCAUUCUGAACAUAGGAGGGUUACGUUUGCUUUGCUGAAACAACUUUUCAUUGGAAGAAGGUAGGAUAUAGUUGACAACUGGCUGCUGUAACUGGAAGCAAUGUUGUUGUUUUCGGUUUUCCUAAAGAAAACACUCUCUGUGCUUUUGCCUUUCCUUUGUUUCCAAUCUAUGCGAAGCAUUUGGACAAUAUUUGUUUAAUUUAUAACCCAGUGGUUUUGAAAGUCCCAGAUGCAGCCCAGUGCUGCCUUUUUGGUUUUUAUCACUCCACAUUGCAACCAGCCUUCCUCCUCUCAGGAUGACAGUCCUGGGAUCCAAAUGCCAACCUGUGGAAGAAGAAUUCCAAGACACAGCAUCUGGCUCCAUGUACAAGUCCAGUGGCAGCUGGCUGUGAUGGGGGUCAUGGAGUUGCCUCUGGCUCUGACAUGUGGUUCAGUUAGUCACUUGAUAGGCUCUGUGACCCUUGAGCCCCUUGGACUUCUGCCUUAUUGUGACAUACCUUUCAAUCUAUGUAAGUCUGACUUCACUUUGCAGUCUAAGUCUUCCUAUACUUCCUCCACACCCUGAUUUCAGCACACCAGUGCAGCAAAAUUUAAUACCACAAUGUUUGAGGACAAUCUGUUCAUUGGGCCUUGUAAACAUGGGAGACUUUUCCCACAUAUGCAUACACAGACAAACGAAUUGUAUGAAUUGGCACCACAAGCCAAUUCAUUAAUAAUAGUGUCACCAGGACCCAGAAUGGCGGGCCCAGCUUCUUUUUACAGGAUGCGACAAGAGUGUGACAUAGGACUAUUUUUGCUGGGCUUCUAAAUGCUUGCUACAGUUUGUGUUAGAAAGAGGCCUCUGAAAAGACCACUUUCUACUCCUGUUGCAUAUAGUCUUAAACAUGAACUAAUUGUGAGUUGUGGUUUGUGGGCUGUCUGUAGCUAACCUCAGUAAAGCUGGUUAAGGCAGUUGGUGCUGAUUUGUCGACCUGGGCUUUUUAUUGCACUAAUUACUAUAUUCUUUAGACAAUUUAUACCCUGCAUUGUCAAGGCAGCUUAGAUCCUUCAGUAAAGCAAUCCAUCAAGUGCAAAAUGAUACAACAAAACACUGAAAUAAUUUGUUGUUGUUGUUUAGUCGUUUAGUCGUGUCUGACUCUUCGUGACCCCAUGGACCAGAGCACGCCAGGCACUCCUGUCUUUCACUGCCUCUCGCAGUUUGGUCAAACUCCUGCUGGUAGCUUCGAGAACACUGUCCAACCAUCUCGUCCUCUGUCGUCCCCUUCUCCUUGUGCCCUCCAUCUUUCCCAGCAUCAGGGUCUUUUACAGGGAGUCUUCUCUUCUCAUGAGGUGGCCAAAGUAUUGGAGCCUCAGCUUCACAAUCUGUCCUUCCAGUGAGCACUCAGGGCUGAUUUCCUUCAGAAUGGAUAGGUUUGAUCUUCUUGCAGUCCAUGGGACUCUCAAGAGUCUCCUCCAGCACCAUAAUUCUAAAGCAUCAAUUCUUCGGCGAUCAGCCUUCUAUAUGUUCCAGCUCUCACUUCCAUACAUCACUACUGGGAAAACCAUAGCUUUAACUAUAUGGACCUUUGUUGGCAAGGUGAUGUCUCUGCUUUUUAAGAGGCUGUCUAGAAUUAAAUAAAAAAAGAGGCAGCAGAUCUUUAAAAUACAGUUAUAUAAUGGCCUAAAAACAUCAGCAACCUGGAAUGGUAAAUGCCUGUUGGAAUAAAAAGAUAUUUGGGUGGUGGCUAAAAACAUCACUGGGAGAGGGGGCAAUUGGGCUUCAGUAGGCUGUGAACCACUUUGAGAUCCUCAUAUGAAGGGCUGUAUACAAAUAUAAUAAUAGGUAGGGAAGUCCAUAAUCUUUUUCCGAACAAUCUAGUACUUCCAAACCUUUGGAAGCCUUUUAUGUUGGCAAGGCAAAAUGUUUCCCACAUUGAAAACUCAGAAUCUGGGUUGAUAGUAACUUUAGAGACAGGGGGAGAAACCCCCCCCCCCCAAAAAAAAGACAACUAGAAAUGUGAUAUAGAGGUAUGUGAAAUUAUUUAUGUUACACAGAUGCUGGAAACUUUCUGCACUUUCUCCUAAUACAAGUACUCAGGGCCACCGGAUGAAAUUGAUUAGCAAUGGAUUCAGGGGUUGGAGUAGAAUGGAAACCAUGUUGUACCCAAUAGAGGAGGAGUUUGGAUUUGAUAUCCCGCUUUAUCACUACCCAAAGGAGUCUCAAAGCGGCUAACAUUCUCCUUUCCCUUCCUUCCCCACAACAAACACUCUGUGAGGUGGGUGAGGCUGAGAGACUUCAGAGAAGUGUGACUGGCCCAAGGUCACCCAGCAGCUGCAUGUGGAGGAGCAGGGAAUCAAACCCAGUUCACCAGAUUACGAGUCCACCGCUCUCAUCACUACACCACACUGGGCAGUAGUGGCCUUUGAAGUGGGGUGGAGCCACCCGCCUGACACUUGCCACUUACCUGGAUUGGGAUGGGGCAGGGCAGUGGCAAAGCUGGGACUGGAUAGACACACCAACAGCAGAAACAUCAGUCUGGCUCCAUCAGUACACCUGUGCAGCCCUAAUCUCAAUGCUGCCUUGCCAUACCCUCAUAAGCUACAGAGGUGCUGGUGAGGGGAAGGUGUCUCCACCUCACCAUUCUGGUUGAGGGAUCCUACUUCAGGAGAAGAUGCCAUAAAAUAACUUUCUCUUGAAGAUUGCAUUCACCUCUGCUAAUUCCAGCUAGAGUUUACUACAGUGGUACCUUGGUUCUCAAAUGCCUUGGUUCCCAAAUGCCGAAAACCUGGAUGUAAGUGUUCCAGUUUUUGAACUCUUUUCAGAAGCCGAACGUCCAAUGCAGCUGUCAGCUAUUGUUUCCAGGCCACCUGCACCAAUCAGCCUUGGUUUUCGAACAUUUUGGAAGUCAAACGGACUUCCGGAAUGGAUUAAGUUUGGCGCUUUUGUUUUUGCUCUGUAUUUUGCUUUUUUGCUUUUGGUUUUUGGUUCAUUUGUUUUUGCGACUGUAUGGAACCCAGUUCAGCUACUGAUGGAUGGAUUAUGGGACUGCAGAAAUGGAUAAAAGUCCCCCAUCCAAACAAUCUCUAUCAUCAGUGCAGGUAAGAAAAAAAAUUAAUUUUAUUUUUUAUCAUCUACAAUACUGUCUUAUUUAUUUUAUAGUACAGUACAUUGAUUAUUGCUUUCAUCUUAUGGAUCAAUGGUCUCAUUAGAUAGUAAAAUUCAUGUUAAAUUGCUGUUUUAGGGGUUGUUUUUUAAAGUCUGGAACGGAUUAAUCCGUUUUGCAUUACUUUCUAUGGGAAAGUGCACCUUGGUUUUGGAACGCUUUGGUUUUAGAACAGACUUCCGGAACGGAUUAAGUUUGAGAACCAAGGUGCCACUGUACUGCAGUCUCCUGGCAGAUGUCGAAAUACAGUAGCAGGAUUUAUUCUAAUAAGGGAUGGUUCUUCUGAAAGAUAAAUGUAAACCUUUACCUAUCCACCAAGAAUAAGAGCAGAAACAGAGUUUAGGUAGACCUUGUUGUUCUAGCUAUUGAGACAAGAAGUCUUUUUAUAUACAAUAAUAAUAAUAAUAAUUUUUAUUUGGUUUUACAAUUAUAAAAUUAUAACAUUCCAAAUUACAUAUCCAUAUUUAGAGAUUUCUCCAAAUCUCUGGACUUCCCACCUUUCCCUCCAUGGGUCCUAUUGUACACCCUUUCAACUGCAUAUUAUUUCAUAAUCCAUAUUUUAUAUCUUUCCAUAUUGUCCAUAGUAUUCUCUACAUUACAAGUGUUAUUAGAAUCCUGUUAAGGUUUUCAUCUGCUUACUGUGGUCUCCUAGAUAAAUUAAAAAAAUUUCCCAUUCUUUGCUGAAGUUUUGAUCUUCUUGGUUCCUGAGCUUUCUGGUCAAUUUUGCCAUUUCGGCAUAGUCCAACAGCUUGAUUUGCCAUUCCUCUCUGGUAGAGACUUUGUCUUAUUACCAUCUCUGGGCUAGUAACAUCCACGUGGCUGUUGUCACAGAGACAGGAAGUCUUCGUAUACUCCUUCCUGUCUAGAAUGAGCCAAUGGCUAGCUUGGUCAAAGUCAGUCUGGAAUUUUCUUCCCCAAGAUGCUGUGGUGAUGCAACGCACCACAUAGCGCUGUGGUCAGGAAUUCCUGACAUUCCAUGAUAAGUCUACCAAUGACUGUUUGCCAUGACUGCUAAAUGGAACUUUUAAGAUUCAGAGGUGGUAGUCACCAGAGUACCACCUGCUGGCAAAGAGGCAAAUAGCAGUGAAAGGCUGCAGCUUUUUAUGCCAUCUGGUUGGCCGCUGCUGUAAACAGGAUAUCAGAUUAGAUGGAUCCUUGGCUGAAUCCAGAAGGGCUCCUUUUGCAUUCUUAUGACUGCUUUCCCUGUGCUCAAAGCAACCAGGUGACCGUACCUCAACAUGUAAGAGCUUACUACAUCUGAUUUUAUGUUAUUUUUGCAGUGAACAAAAUAAAAGUUUGAUCAAUAACAACGUGCCAUAUUUAUCUUUUCUCUGAUGUCAAAACCGAAGCAGGGCAAUGGAUUAAUUACUUUUCGGUAGUAAUAACUAGCAAUUACUUAUGUCUACCAUGAAGACACACAGAUCUUUUGAUUAGAAAGCUGCAAGCUUCUUUUGCAAUGAUAGACUCUUUGUCAAGUGUUGAUCUUCUUAACAAAUUUGAGUGGACAUAAAAAGCAGCAUCUUUGAGGGCCUUGCUGGCCCAUCUGGGGUCAGUGCAAAGGAAUGGAACAGAUUUUUUUAUAAUUAUUUAUAAGAUGUCUGCUUUCAUAACACUGUUACUUGAGUAUCUGACAACCUCAGGGGCCCUGUCCAAGUAUAUCAUAUGACAUUCUGUUGGUCAUCAGCAAAUAUUCCCUUACUGAAGGAAAUUUUAGAGACUCAAAAAGCCAUCUCACCUCCCUCUCCCUCCCACAGUGUAUAAUCACCUUCAUUUGGAAUGCUUUAAGCAAAUUGAAACAUAACAUACAUAACUUGGGAAAGCAAACAUUUGGACAGCCUUCACUAUAAACAUAAAUGUACCGUACUUCUUUUUUGCAGUGGAACUACUUUAUUAUAUCAAAUCUAGUUCUGACAUAGUCAAACCCAGUAAAUUCCAGUGUGGGUCAUGAUUGUUAGCCCACGAAUACUGUGGUACACGUUGUGCUGACCAUUGUGCAACUGAAAUAGGGUUUGGCUUAAGUAUGAACAUACGCUGUUCUUUUCAACAGUUCAUUGGCUAUUGGUUCUACUCUCAAGGCCUGCAGUGGGGAACCUAAUCUCAUGUGACGCUCUGUAAAACUUGCUCUGUUGCCCACCCCUCUGAGAACCAGUUCCUCUUCCACAUUUUAUGUGUGUAAGGGGUGGGGAGAGAAAGGAGAGGGGGCUGCUACACUGUGAACCCAGAAAACAAAUGCUCAUCAGAGGAAGAGAAAGGAAGACCAGAAAUGGACCUAGUAAUUCAAGGAGUAGGGUGAUGUCAGGGACUGGACUGAGGAGGAAUGGUGGGGACCACCCCUGCUCUUCCUGAACCUUCCCGAGAAGAGGAGGACAGUAUAGAUUUAGAACAGUGGUUUGCAGAGGGUCAUAGUUCAGAGGCUGCAGAGGGGAGAAGCUGGGAAAUAUUGGGAGAGCAGCAGGAAGAAGCACCACCAGUGGAGAGACAUCUGACAGACUCAGUGUCUUUAGAAAGCAUUCCUGACCCCGCCCCCCUUCCCUGGACCAGGUGUGCAUUGAGAGUAGUAGAACAGAAAGCUCAGAGGCAGAAGGCACUGAUCAGCUGGCUUAGGGAUGACAUAGGAUAGGAGGGAUUGAGGGGGUGGCAUUUUACUUCGAGCAACGCCAUUAUCUAAGAGAGACCGCAUUCCUUUCUCUCUCUGUGUGAAUACUGAAUUAACCACUUAGUAAGAACUGACAGAUUUCCCCAUCCCUUGGAACGCAGCUCUCAGCAGAAAGUGAUUGAGUGAACGGAAUAGGGCACUUUGCUGAUGGGGAAGUUUGCAUUCAUGGGUGGGGAAUUCAUCAAAGUUGGGGGUGGGAAUUUACCCACAACUUUUUAAAAAACACACACACCCCACCUCUGGUAUCAUUUCCAGGAAGACUUUGAGUACUGUACUUUUAUUUAUGAAAAGUGUGCCAUUCUACACCCAGCUGCCAAUUUCCAAGCACCCUUCGAAUCCAUAGCCCGGGCUGGGGCGGGUAGCAUUUAUUCCAUAAGAACAUGGCAGAAUUCUCCCUCAAUUUUUAGCUCUCUCUCUUUUUAGUCCCUUUCUUGUGUGUGGAGAUAUAAGUAAAAGCGCUUAGGCAGUAUUUUGUUCAACUGCUCAAAAAGAAAGGGCCACAGUCAAAUGUAUUUAAACAGAUGGAAUCACUUGCAUUUAUGUUGAGGCCUUGUGCCUUUGAUCAAGGGUCUGGAGCCAAGCCUUAUGAGGAACGGUAGAGGCAAUUGGGUAUGUUGAGCCUUGUAAAGAGGAAACUAAGAGGAGAUAUGAUAUCCAUAUUCCAAUAUUUAAAGGGAUGUCACAGGGAGGAUGGAACCAGCUUGCUUUCUUUGACUAGGACCUGAACCAAUGGAUUCAAGUUACAAGAAGGGAGAUUCCAACUAAACAUGAGGAAGAACCUUCUGACUGUUCAACAGUGGAACAGACUCCCACAAGAGGUGGUGGAUUCUUCUUCUUUGGAGAUUUUUAAGCAGAGGUUGGAUGACCAUCUGCCAUGUAUGAUCAAGUUGAGAUUCCUGAAUUGCAAGAGAUUGGGCUACCUUGGGGGUACCUUCCAACUCUAUGAUUCUAUGAGAUUCCACAAUAGAAUUCACCAACCUGGUUCCCUCCAGAGGUUUUGGGCCACAGCACUGGCUGGGGCUGAUGGGGGUUGUAGUCUGAAACUUCUGGGGGAAACCAGGCUGAGGAAGUCUGUUCUACAGUUUUGUCACAACCUUGUCAAAGGCUUCCGCUCCCUUUCUUCCUUUCUGACCAAGGAUGAUCAACCCUGCUGCAGUGUGCUGAACCCUUUACUCAAAAAGAGUCAAGGCAGUGAUGUGGGCUAGUAUCCAUUAGAGACACCAAGCUGAGAAAUGAACCCAAGUCACAAGAGGCCAGCCCUGUAUUCCCUGAAGCGGACGUCUAGUCCUUUUACUGCCAAGCUCCUUCUUUUGGUAUUUAAUCAACUGUCGAAUCCUCUGAAGUGAAAAAAAUGCACUUUUUAUUUUCAUUUUCAGUGACUCGUUGAAGCUGACUGCUUCUCACAACCAGCAAGGUCUAUGAAACUAGUCUUUAUUAAGGAUGAGUGAUUUCUCACACUUAUUCCGUUUCCCUCAGAGGCUGCCAAGUUGGUCCACCUGGGCCUCCAAACUGAGAUAUCACAUUUCCCACAUCUCAUGCCUUUUUCCUCUCUAUUUGUCCUGCAUUAUUUAUUAUGGCACAGAGUGCUCCUGGGGUUCGUUGUUAGCCGGGGUCAGACCUGCUUUGGCCUCCCCUUUGCAGCAGCUCAGAUUGGAAGGCAACCAGCAACUCUGUUGAACAGAUCAGCAAAUCGCUUGGCAAUUUCAAGUGAAGAAACAGAAACUCAAGCAUGUUACAGGGAUCAGUAACUGAGAGUGAGUUGCAUGUCCUCCAGUUCAUGGACCAGAGAAAGUGGGCAGAAUGGACAGUAUGCAUUUUCUGCACAAAUGAUGUGCUUGCAUGCUCCUCCAAGAAUUGCCUCCCUUAUAGCCUGGCUGCAUUUCAUUAAUUUUCAAAGUGGCUUGCUAAACAUAACAAUAUUUUUUUUAAGUGCAAUUAAAAAUAAAAAGAUAAGGUAGAUGUCAAAACACAACAGCACAAACCAGAAACCAACAACUUUAAAACAGAUCAGUGCCUGGCUGAGAACCAGUGAGGAGUGGAAAUCCCACAAGGAGGAGACCUUGGUGUCUUCAUGGGAAUUAGGGAGGGGAGAGGAAGACCUCCGUAGGAGGGGAUAGUAUAGUAUAGAAUAGAAUAGAAUAGAAGGCUUGUAAAAGGCCUUGUGGUCUCUGCAGGACUUGAGGGGUAAAAAAGCCUUUGUGGCUGGUGGGGCAAAAAUUAAGGAUAAGGAUUCCCUCUGUGGGGGAAGGGAGAGGACUGUCUCAGUAGCAGAGAGGGUGAAGAAAAGGGAGGACAAAACCUAUGGAAGACAUGUGGUCCCUGUGAAGCUUGCAGAGGAGAGAAGAAAGCUUUCAUGGCUGGUGAUAGGGCAAAGAAAGAAAAGGCCUUGUCUCAUCCUUAGGAGUUGAGGAAGGGAGAGCAAAGUAUUCACAGCAGUGAGUUUAGGCCUCAUGGUCUCCCUCCAGGUGUUGUAUCCCUGGGUCCAGUGCCCAGAUCUCUUGAGUACCUAGCAAUGCCUCUGCCUUUUGGCCAUGUGGCUAUUCCAAAUCUCCCAAAAUGUAAACACAAAACCAGGUGAGUUUUGAAUACCCAAGAGGUUACAAAGUUUCUUCUGACCAUCUGUUUUUAAAAACAACAACACAAAAACAAAAAGUAUCAUGCACAGGACAAAGAGAGAAAUAAUGCAACAUGUAGUAGCAUUUGUAUCUUCCCUCUCUCUCUUUUUUGCUAAUGUCAGUCUCCAACAGAACUUGGACCUUGUAGUCCACAGAGCCUACAUGAGAAACACAACGGCAGAUGAAGAAUGAGCAAGAGCUGAGGCUUUAGGGAAGAUCUUCAUGAAAAAUAAAAGGAAAGGAAAUUAAAAGAAAUGAUUUUUUCAUUUUCUUUUCUUUUUUAAAAAAUCUGCAUAGAUGCUUUUACAGUCUGAUGGCUUCUUCCAUUUUCUUGCUGUUGUGUGUCUAACCUCAGG